CUUCCUCCGUUUGGCAGUAUUGCUGAUGAUGAUGUCAUGAACGACAAUCUUGAUUUUCUUAAUGUCCCCCAAUAUGGAAGAAACCCCGACUACAUGGGUUAAGUGCAGCACUGCUUUUUUUUUUUUUCUGUUUUGUUUAAUUAAAUAAAUGAUAGGUAUACUAUUACCUAUCAAUCAUGACAAUGUUUUAGUAUGGUUUAGUUCAACUUAUAAGAUUUCUUGAGACGUACAAGCAAUCUUUUUGUUUACUUUUGAGCUAAGUAUUUUCCUGAAAAAGGAAAUAAAUCAAUAAAAGUUAUUGUGUGUGUCAACAUAUUGGUUCUAUUAGUUUAUACACGUCGGUUUUAAUUACGAUCUCUCUUCCUAAAUGUUGUACUUUUUUUUGAAAUAAACUCAAAACUUUGUUGUAUAAAAAACUCUUAUCACUUUCAAUCAUAUGAUGGUUACAAUUUAAUCAUUUAUUCAUAACAUCCUCCUGGUCCUCCAUUGAGGAUAUUAAAGUGUGCCAUUCUGUAACCCAGAACUAUCAUUUCUUCCACCUCUACGAUAUCUUGUAAUGUUACUUGCAGCUUCAUAAGCCACAGAAACAUCAUCAAAAUCAACAAAUUGUUUUUUUUUUUUUUUAGGAAAGUAAUAAGAAAAAUAAAAGCUGCAUUAUUUUAUUGGCCACAUUGGACUCCUAGGCCGGGUAAUCUUGUCAUCUCUACUCGUAGAGUCUUCUCCCAUGGUACUUGCAUGGUUCCAUCUUUUAACUCUAGUAGUAUUUUGUUUGGAAAAUACCCCAAUAUAAUAUCUUCAUUCAAGAAAAUUGAGGACUGAAUUUGUGGUGCUUUUAUCAUAUUAAAUUACAUUUAAUUAUCAAUAUUUAUUGACUGAAAUCAGAAGGGUGUUUGAAUCAGAUAUGAAUUCUCUCUUAAUCAAUUUUUUUUUCUAAAUUUUGUAAGAUAUUAUGGCAGAUUUCAUUUAAAUUGUUUUAUAGUUAGGAUUUAAUUUAUUUUGGGCUUUCCUUAUUGUUUGAAUCCGAUGAAUUUCAUAUCAUCUUGCUGGUGCUUCUUCUGAUCUUCUUCUCCCUCCCUCUCUCUCACUUUUUUUCUUCUCUCUCACAGACCUAAAACUUUGACGAGCAAAUUUGAAAACGAAAUAUCAGGACGGAAAAGCCUCAACAUAUUAAAAAAUUCGGAUAAUUUAACUCUCGUAGCAUUGAUGAAUUUUGGUGUUCUGAUGCGAUUCAAGUUUCUCAUAGAGCCAAAAAAUGGCAAUUCAAGCCAAUUUUUUUAUCCAUCAAUUGAAAUACAUGUUACAUAUGCAGCAGCCCGUAAUCGAAAAUAACUUAAUUUGUUUUAAAAAUUCUUUAUGUUAGACUAGAAAUGAAUCCAUUCUUGUUAUUGCGUAUCUGCAAUUUAACUUAUGCUGCUAGUUUACAAUUUAUUUUAUUCACAUAAAUGAUCGUUCCUUUUUCUUAUUCUCAAUUAAAUUUUGGUUCCUAGAAUGAUAGUUAAAAAAAUUAACAAUAAUAAUCGAUGUCGCAGAUCAAUUAUCAAAGUUUGUUUGUGUGAACAAGAAAUAUGAGAAAAAGUUUGUUAGUUAAUUGUCUCUUAGUUUUAGAAUUUUGAUUAACCAAUAAAACAACGUAUUUUAUUGUUUAAUAAAACAAGUUCAAAGUAAAUUCAAUCCUAGUCAUAUUUUGAUAUUUUUAUUACAUCGCAAUUAAAUUUAAGACAAACCACAUUUCGGCAAUUAAAUUUAAGACAAGCCACAUUCUCCACAUGAAAUAUUUUUGUCGCGUCGUGAUUAAAUGAUUGAGUCUCACGUAGAAGUCUGUCACUAACCAUAUAUUUUUAUAAAUUUAUCAACACAAAAAGAAAAAAAAAAUGAAGUAUUUGAAAUUUAUCUGGGGCUAAGCAGUAACAUUGGAUGUUGCCUCGGAUGUCCUAUAUCAAGGGCCCGAUUAAUAAAAUUUUGGGCCCUAGGCAAAAUUUCUAAAUUAGCCCUUUUUAUUUAAAUGAAAGUUAAUGUGAGAUUAAUUUAAAUUUUUACGAUUAAUAUGAAUAAUUUAUUUUUUUAGAUAUAAUUCCUUUACAUAGUUUGUAUCUGUAUUAUUUCAAAGAUUUUUUUGGGUUAUGUUUAAGCAGGCUUAUUUUUGAGAGAUUAUGAAGAAUAAGAGAUUGUGUUUCAAUUGGAAAUAACAAAAAUUUCGUUGCAUAAUUUUUUUUAAGCAUUAAAGAAAUAAGUUAUUGACGGAAAUUUCACUUUCAACAUAGAGAAUAUCCAACAUUUUAAACAAGAAAAUAAAUAAAUUCUGAUUUUUUAACUGAACUAUAUAUUGAGGUGGGGCCAAAAUUUUUGGAGAGCAAAUAUAAUAACUCAAUUUCUAAAUAAUGAAUAAUGACUCAAUUUCUAAAUAAUGAAGUAAAACAUAAAUUAGGGUUUUAGUAGGAAAGUAUAUUAGAUGGGACCUUGAUUUUAGGGGAAGGCAUAGGCAGUUGCCUAAAGAGUAGAGCUUCUAACACCCCUUUUAAACUUGUAACAAACCCCAAUUUUUUGUUUUUUUAAGUCUCUUUCUUUUAUGAAAAAUACAGAAAAGGACAUAAAGUUAUAAUGAAAUUUUAAUUGAACUUCACUACUGUAUAGAAUACAUUUUGUAAACAAAUUUUUCAUAAUAAAUUUUUUAAUAAAUAAUUUAUUUCUUUGUUAUUUUGUUUUUAUCAGCAAAUUAAUUAUAAUAUCAUAGGAUUAGCAAAUAGUCAAGAUUCAAGAUUUGUUAAGCUAUUUUAAUGUAAUCAAAUUCAUAUUUUUCCUUUUAGUAAUUCUUAGUAAUAAUAGAACUAUUAUUUUAAAAGUAGGGUGAUGCAAGAAUAUUAAAACGGUGUGAAAAGCAUUACUCUUGCCUAAAUUAUUCCAAGGUUGAACCGGCGUGUCUAAUUACCACCCUCUAGAGAAAGGGGAAAUUUUUUUUCCGAAGACAACCAUGUUUUGGGUAUUUCUACCGACACUCUACAAAAUAAAUGCUGGAAGAAAAUUAAUACUCUAUUAAUUGUUAGGGACAAAUCACACUUCCGUUGAGAAUAGACCUUCAGUUAAGUAUACCGGUUUCGACAUCCCUCGACUCUUGAGCUUUUCUUUGAAUAUAAGUUGGGUUCGUGGGUUUUUAUAUAAUAUCAGAGUUAGAAUCGUACAUAAGUGAGUCCACACUACCUUACCACAUCGAUUGAGAAUAAAUAUUGAGUUCAAUAUUAAACCUUCAACCACAAGGAUAAAACUAAUUAAGGCCCUUGAGGGGCUUCAAUACAUCCUCAACUAUUAAAUUCAUGGAAAUUCAUAUUAAUUUAAUGGAGUUGAACUUUUGGCACCCCUUUGAAUAUGUCUUAAAACACAUUUUCUUUACUUAUCCCAUUAAAAUUGUAUAAAGAUUGCACACUUUCUCAUGAAAUCCCUAUGAUUCUAAAAAUAACCCUGAUUUCUUGUUAAAUAAACACCAAUGCAGAUGCGGCAAUAAAAUAGUUAAUUUAAAAAAAAAUCCCUAUCUGAGAGACAGAAAGCUAGAGGAUUUCAAUAUGGAAUAUUUAUGAUCAAUAGAAGAAUUCAAGUGACUGGAGAAAAUUCAGAUUGUUCAAAAUGGGUUCUCAAACGAGAUAAGCCUCAGGUAGUAGACCUCACCAACAUCAGUACCAGACUCAAUCCAUAGAAUCGGUCUCGUCUUAAGCCUAACAGCUCCCUUUUAAUAUAAUCUAGUGAGAACGGUGAGGUGCUUGGUAUAUCAUACACCAAAAAUCAACGAUGCUUGGACUUUCAAGAAAAAGAGAAAAACAAAUGCAUGCAGGGGGAAACGUACUAAUUAAAAGCAAAUCAUAUAAUUUACAAAUUAUUAUAGGCUUGUAGCCAUAAGAUCGAGAGAAACUAAAACAUUUCUUGCAUUUUCUGGCCAUAUUUUCUAAAUGAAGGGAUGGUCCAUUGCUGCUCUGCCAUACUGGAUCUCAAGAUGUCAUUAACAAUAGGUCUCAAGAUGUCGCUAACAAGGUGUCACUCUGAUACCGACAGGUCUACCACUUAGACAUAACACUUGCCAUAUAAAAUUUUCUCCUAUUUUUGCUAUUUCCUUCGUAUCUUGCAUUGAAUUAUUGCCAGCAAAUGAUAUUUCGAGUCAAAAAAGUAUAUUCAAUUAUUGCAUAUAUGCUCCUAGGUAAUUUGCACAAUUGAAUUAUAGCUGUUAAUCUACUUAUUUACACAAAUGAUUAAUUGUACGCAUCCAUUGCAAGACUUUCGCACUAGGUUUCAAUUUCAACCACAAAUCCUACCUCUAGAUAAAAAUGAUGUGGUCGUAGAGAUUUCGAAUGUAUUCACUUUGUGAUUAACGGAAGCAUUGCUUUCAUUUGUAAGACGUUAAAUCAUCAUUUUGGUAAAGGAAAAAGAAUGAAAAAAGCUGCACUAUUUUAAAGGCCAUUUGGUAUAUGACCACUUCCCAUUGGACUUGGAGACCGGGUAAUUUUGUCAUCUCCACUCCUAGAAUCUGCUCUCAUGCUACUUGCAUGGUUCCAUCUUUGAAGUCUGGUACUGUUUUGUUUGGAAAAUACCCCACUAUAAUAUCUUCACGAAGAAAAUUGAUCCCCGUUAACUAGCGUGAUUAGCUUAGUUUCUUAAAUUCAACGUUCGUUUGGUUAAUUGUCUGUUAGUUUUAGAAUUUUGAUUAGCCAAUAAAACAAUGAGUUUUAUUGUUUGAUAAGGCAAGUUGAAAUAAAUUCAAUCCUACUCACAGAAAAAUUUAAAUGACACAUAUCAUAAUCUUUUUCAUAUCUUCAGAAAAAUUAAAUCAUAAGAGGAUCAUGAACAAUUUGAUGAUGCUCUGAAAUAUAGUCUUCUGUUUUUCAAGGAAAAAAUAAGGAAGUUAAAAACAUGUUUAUCAGGUUUUUCAGAGAUCAUUUUGACGUUUUUGUUUAAAAACAUGAAAAUUGUUCUUAUUCUCGUAAACCAGAAAAAAUUAUCUGGCCGGUUAGCUAAUUAUUCUUGUUCUUCUGUUCUUUUUUAUUUGAAUUGUUUCUCCCUUUUCCAUUCAUUUUUCACUAUGAAAUUAAUUACUAAUUAAUCUACAGUUAGUUUCUUUACAGCUAAUAGGAACGUGAUUUAUGCCCGAAGACUCGCAUCUUUUUGAUUCAUUAUCUACAGUGCCUCACCUCCAAUCUAUGUAUAGGCGGACAUGCAUAUUUAUUAUAUCAAAUAAGUUAUUGAUGGAAAUUUCACUUUCGAAAUAGAGAAUUAUCCUUAAUUAAAUCUUUGUGGGCCUAAAUUCGAGUAAGAUUUAAUGAUGUAUGAUUCAAAAUUAUUGAAAUCGGACAUUUUAAACAAGAAAAAAAUAAAAAAUCUUGUUCUCUUUUUUAAAUAAUAAAUUUCAUUUUGAUGGAUUUUUAAUAUUAAAUUAGACAUUUGCUAAAUUGGCUCAAAUAUAAUAGAUCUUAGACCUUGCUUUUAAUGGAUUUAAUUAGGUUUUGGGCAUUUAAAUUAUACAACUGGAGACAGAAUUUAUAAAUAGAUAAGAUUCUAAUGUGAUUUUAAAAUAAUUUUGAACUUGAACUUGAACUUGAUGCAUUUAAUUAAUCCAGAAAGGUAAAUUUAUAAUUUCAACUUUUAAAUAAAACAUAUCCUUUGGAUUUUUUACAUAAACUAGAGGCAAUUGUACAAUAUUUACUUGACUAGUGGUAUAUAUCCCAAAUUUUUUAUCCUAAGAAAUGCCACAUCAUUUGGUUGAUGAGGAUAAUAUAAUUAAUUCACUUAGAUAUUAUAAAAAAUUAUCAACCAAUCAAUGAAUAACAUAUCAUUUUCAUUGGGAUGAAAUUUGAAAAAAAAAUUUAGGACGUCUAUCAUUACUUUAGUAAGAAAGCAUAUUAAGAUGGACUGACAUGUUUGGAUGCCCCAGCCUAAGAUGCAAGAGAUCAAUUUCUUUUGUUGUCUUGAAAUCCCUACUAUUUGACUCAACAACAUUGGCAACAUUUAACUCAUUACUACUAGAACAAAAAGAUAUCAUAGACAAAGGAUUGCUAAUGCAAUUUAUUGACUCAUACUCUAAAGAUAGAGGUAACUCAACAGCACAUUCAAUCUUGCGCUACUCAUGCACAUUAGCUCAUAUAGCCUAUCUUUAGUCACUCCUUUCAUUAGGAUUUUCACUUGGCUAAAGCAAGUAGAUUUUUGAAGCACAACAUCAAUAUCAUUAUCACGGAACAAUUUUGAGACAUUAAUAAGGUUCUUAGUAAUGCUAGGCACAGACAACGAGCUGUUUAGUUUAAUCUGUUUGUGUGGAUCAUAAGUGAGCAAUAUAGAGUAUCCAAUAUGAGAAAUCAAAAGUUUAUCACCAUUUCCAACAGUAGCUCAUCAUUACCUUGAUAUUAUGAAUUAAAGCUCAUGCUUCCAAUAGCACUGGUUGCAUGAUUUGUAGCACCAUUGUCAAGGUACCAAGCUCUACUAUUCUCACCGUCAACUGCAACCACAUAUGCUCUUCUUGGAUCUCUUCUUCUAUUUGGCUGUGGAACUGAUAUGAACCCUAUUAAGAACUAACAUGACCCUAACCAAUUUAGUCUCUAAGAUUGAAACCAAUUUUUUAUUUUUUUUAGAAGAGAUUGAAACCAAAUCUAAAAUUGAAUGGAACCGCGAUUUGAUCUCAAUGAAAGUACGAACCUUGGUAUGUGAUGACGCCACAAUCAGCUAUGGAUGAUCUUAUUGAUAAGUCAAGAGUUUGAACGCCACAGAAAUCCGAUAAAUUCAAAGGGUUAGUUUAAGAACCAAAGAGAAUUAGCUUUCUCACCAAUUGCAUCAAAAUUGAUGCCUUUCUUAUUGGAUACGAGUACAUUAGAUAGGGUUGGUUUAUAAGAAUUUUAAGAAAUAAAUCCUAAACCAAAAUCAAAUCAGAAUCCUAAUUUAAAGCAAAUAAGGAAAGAAACUAAAUCAAACCAGAAUCCUUAUUGGCUUAAAUGCCUUGCAUCAAUUAAAAAUGGAAACAAGGCAAUUAAAAGAGAAAUAAUUGAUUCGUUUUGCCACUUGCCUACUCAAGAAAUGGGAAAGUAUCCUAAAAGGAAAGUAGUAUAUUUUCCAAACGAGAAAACAUCUGAUAAGGUAAAUAAUGUAUUUUCUUGCCAUAAUGUGCAAACCAACUUGCUGAUUUUAUGGAAAUGAUUAUGUGGAAACUUAAAAAGCCUGAAUCACGUAUUUAGUGGUCUGAAUAUCAUGUGCGCUUUCUUCAACGGGCCUCCACGAAUUUGAUUGAGCUCAAGUUGCUUAAAUCAACCCAUUAAGCGAUUUUUUGAAUUUUUUUGCACGAGCUCUUGUGAUGGGUCCAACAGGAACUUGAAUGGGAUAUGAAUAUACCUCAUCCCAUGUGCUUGUGACAGUUUUGUCCUCAAUAUCAUAUUUUUUCCUUCAAAGAAACAAUUUUGCUUCAUAUGGAAAAGGAAAUUCUUAUGUAGCCUUACAUGAUUUAUACAUAAACUCAUAAUAUUUGUGUAGUCCUUCAUGAACAUGUGAAAUAUACACUUAUAUAGUGAAUCCUUCAUGAGCAAGAUGUUAGUGAAUAACAUCAUAAUUUUGGAAUAGUCUUUCAGGAACAUAUUUUGAAAGAAAAUCUUCAUUAUGUAUAGUGCGAUCCUUAGAGAUGCAUUCUUAAUUUUCUUUCAUUAUAUAUUAUAAUAUUCAUACUUUAGGAUGAAUAUUUUGAAUUUCAAGAAUAGAAAAUAUAUAAUAGCAAUUGAAUAUUAUAAUAUAAAAAAUCAAACAAUAACAAAAUCAAUCAAUGGAACAUUAAAUAAAUGUUGGAAUCCAAAUCUCAUAAAAUAUAUGUAAUCAUUAAUAAAGGAAGUAUUAGAACAAGAAUCAAUCGGUCCUUGAUCUUAGCCACUAACUUAGCAUAUUGUAAUAUUCAUUCUCCUUUAUAUUCUUUCCUUUUCUAUUAUUUGACCGUUUGGUACUUGCCUUAGAUGAUUCUAGUAUUUUUGUAUAUAAGGAUCUUGUACACAGCAACAAAUAUAUAUGAGCAUUUCCACAAUUCUUUACAUGGUACCAGAGAAAAUUUUGCUCAUUUAUGCUUUUCUCUUUGACAAUCAUGUCUAGUAGUUUGAAUCCAAUAUCAGAAACAUCAAAUUCCCUCAUUACCGAUGCUUCUUCACCAUACUUUCUUCAUUCAUCUGAUCAUCCUGGAGCCAUUCUUGUAUCUAAUGUGCUAAUGGGUGAUAAUUAUUCAACAUGGAAAAAAUCCAUGAAGAUGGCAUUAAAUGCCAAAAACAAAUUGGGUUUUAUUGAUGGAAGCAUACAAAAACCUUCAUCAACCUCACAAGAUUUAAAAACUUGGGAGCGAUGCAAUGACAUGGUCCUUUCAUGGAUGCUCAAUGGAAUAGAGAAAAAUCUUGCCAACAGCCUCAUUUAUUGUGAUACUCCACGCUCUCUUUGGCUUGGGUUGGAAGAACGUUUUUCACAAAGUAAAAAUCAUUAGUGAUUUAUUUUAAUACUUUGAAAUUUUAUUAGGAUGAAUUGUCCACAUUAACCACUAUUUCUUCUUGCAAGUGUGAAACUUCAUAUGAAUUGCAGGGAUUACUAGAGACUGAAAAGGUGUUUCAAUUCCUAAUGGGUCUCAAUGAUUCAUAUUCUUCGGUACGAAGUCAAAUCUUAGCCAUGGAACCACUUCCAAAUGUUGGAAAACCAUAUUCAAUUAUUCAUCAGGAAGAACGUCAACGACUUCUCCAUGUUUCCAGUCAACCAUCCAUUGAAUCAACAGCCUUGACAGCCAAUAAUAAGACUCAAAUGACCGGCUGUCAAAAUCAUUCACAUUGUGAAGCCAGCAAGUAGUUAUAUUCUGUUUAAUUGAAUGAGGUGGCAUGCUGAGUUGGCAUAAGAUCCUUGAGUCUGUUAAAUCUGUUAAUGAAGAAUAACAGUUGGCACUCUUCUUUCGUAGCUAAGGAGUUAUAAAAGGGCAGCAAGGAGAUACAUUGGAGAUACGAGUGUAUGAGAGAUUCUUGGAGUGAGAUAUAGAACUUUUGUGAGAAGUUAAUAUCUCUGUAAUCUCAUCAUCUUUUGUAAACCAUCUUUCAUUCUAAAUAAAGCUUAGAGCUGUGCUGUUUCAACCGUGGAUGUAGGCUUUUUGUGGCCGAACCACGUUACAUCUUCUUGCCUUUAUCUUUUAUAUUCUUGGUAUCUUUGGUUGUUUGGUUUAGAUCUUUAGUGAGAAUACAUUUGUUCGUAUGCUUGUUUUCUUAAAGAAGCUUGAAAGUGCUGGGCUAAGUUCUUAACAAACUGGUAUCAGAGCCAGAAGGGCACUCUGUUCUUGAUCUGGCAUAAUGGGCAGCACAAGAUUCGAUCUUGAAAAGUUCAAUGGAGAGAAUGACUUCUACCUGUGGAGUCUGAAGAUGCGAGCCAUUCUGAUUCAACAGGGCUUGGAUAGUGCCCUCGAUGAUGACUGCGAAUCAAAGUCCAAAAGGGAAAAGGAAGAAGGAUCUUCAAGUUUGGGUGGAGACUCAAGGACUAUAAACAACAAGGCUCACAGCACUAUCAUUCUACACUUGUCUGAUGAAGUGCUGAGAGAAGUAGCCAAAGAGAAGACAGCCUCUGGUUUGUGGGCUAAACUAGAAGAACUCUUCUUGAAGAAAUCUUUGGCUAAAAGAUUGUACAUGAAGAGGAAACUCUACACGUUUUCAAUGAAGGAAGGGACAUCCAUGAAAGACCACCUUGAUGAGUUCAAUAAGUUGAUACUCGAUCUUGAAAACGUUAAUGUCAUGCUUGAAGAUGAAGAUAGAGCUCUUAUUUUGUUAAGCUCACUACCUGACUCCUAUGAGCAUUUCGUGGACACCUUGCUCUAUGGGAGACAGACCCUCACAUUGAAGGAUGUCAAGAAUGCUCUCGAAUCUAAAGACCUAAAGAAAAGAUCAGACUUCAAGGAUCAAGCUAUAGGAGAUGGUUUGUUUGUGAAAACAAAAUCAGAAAAGAAAGGAAACAAAGAUAAGAAGAACAAAAAUCAGAAAGAAAAAGAUGACAAGAAGAAGAAGAAAAGAAAAUGCUACUUCUGUCAAAGAGAAGGACAUUACAUCAAAGACUGUUUCGAGAAAAAGAAGCUAGAAAAGCUGCAAAAGGAGACAAAUGGAAAAGCAGCAAUUGCAUCUGAAGAUGAAGAGGAUGCUGAAGGUGCUGAUGUUCUCAUUGCAGCAGAUAAACAACCCACAGCUGAAUGGAUUCUUGAUUCUGGAUGUUCCUUCCACAUGUGCCCAAAUAAAGAAUUCUUCAAGACCUUCUAGAACAUAAAUAGUGGGAAAGUGUUGCUGGGAAACAACCUUGCUUGCAGAGUCACUGGAAUGGGGACUAUCAACAUUCAGAUGUUUGAUGACAAAACCAGGGAGCUUAAACAAGUAAGGUAUGUCCCUGAACUAAAAAGAAACCUGAUCUCUCUUGGGAUGAUGGAUAAAUUGGGUUGUAGCAUUAAGGCUGAAGAUGGAAAAAUUGAGGUCUUAAAUAAAGGUGAAGUCAUAAUGAAGGGUGUUAGAAGGAAUGGUUUGUAUGUGUUAGUUGGGUCAGUGCCUCAGCUUGGAGUAAAUGCUAACAUAAAUAGUGAUAAAACCAAGCUCUGGCACAUGAGACUUGGACAUAUGAGUCAAAAAGGUAUGAAGGAGCUGGAGAAACAAGGUCUGUUUGGCCAUGAUCAGAUUUCUCAACUGGAAUUCUUUGAAAAGUGUGUGUUUGGUAAAGCCACUAGACUUAAGUUUAACACAAGUAAGCAUGAAACCAAACAGACCCUGGACUACAUACAUUCUGACAUCUGGGGUCCCUCCCAAGUUUCAUCCCAUGGUGGAGCUAGAUACCUUAUCACCUUCAUAGAUGACUACUCAAGGAAGCUUUGGGUUUACAUCUUGAAGCAUAAGAGUGAAGCCCUAGAUAAAUUCAAGGAAUGGACAACUCUAAUGGAAAAUCAAACUGGGAGGAAAGUAAAAAGGCUCAGAACUGAUAAUGGGCUAGAAUACUGCAGUAAUGAGUUUGAUGAAUUCUGUAAAAGGUUGGGCAUUGCAAGACACAAGACAGUAAGACAUACACCUCAGCAAAAUGGACUUGCUGAAAGGAUGAAUAGGACCUUGAUUGAAAAGGUCAGAUGCAUGCUGUUGAGCUCAAAUCUCCCCAAGCAUUUUUGGGCUAAAGCUGCUGUUACAGCUGCAUAUCUCAUUAGCAGAAGUCCAUCAUCAGCUCUGGAGUUCAAAACACCUCAGGAAGUCUGGUCUGGGAAGCCACCUGAUCUCAGCAAUCUGAAAGUCUUUGGUUGCCCUGCCUAUGCUCACAUUAGACAGGGCAAGCUGGAACCAAGGGCUGUGAAAGGUUACUUUAUAGGGUACCCUGAGGGCGUUAAAGGAUACAAAAUAUGGAGCAUAAAUGGGAAACCCACCAGAACCUUUAUUAGCAGGGAUGUUGUUUUUGAUGAGGAAGCCCUGACACAGUCAAAGGUUGAGACUGAAAUAAUCAAUACAAGCUCUGAAGUAAAGGGAGUUGUUGAGCUGGAGGUGGAGUCACCAAAAGAAGCAAAACAACAUCCAAAACAAACACAUUCUGAAUUGGAAGGAUAUCAACUGACUAGGGAUAGAAUAAGAAGAACCAUCAAAAUGCCUGAAAGAUUUGGAGUUGCAGAUCUUAUAUCCUAUGCUUUGGCUGUGGCUGAAGCUGAAACAAGUGAGGAACCUGCAACCUACAAGCAAGCUAUGAGAACCAAGGACAAAAGAAAGUGGGUUGCUGCCAUGGAAGAAGAAAUGGCCUCACUCAGAAAGAAUAAGACCUGGACUUUAGUAAAGAAACCAGCUAACCAAAAGCUAGUAGGCUGUAAAUGGAUAUAUAAGAUAAAGGAGGGAGUCUCAGAAGCUGAACCAGCCAGGUACAAGGCCAGACUUGUAGCAAAGGGGUUCACCCAAAGAGAGGGAGUGGAUUUUAAUGAAGUAUUCUCCCCUGUGGUCAAACACAGCUCAAUAAGAGUCUUGUUAUCCAUUGCAGCAUACAAUGACUUGGAGUUAGAUCAAAUGGACGUGAAGACUGAUUUCCUACAUGGAGAUCUCAGUGAGAGGAUACUGAUGGAACAGCCAGAGGGAUUUGUUGAAGCUGAAUCAGAAGAUAUGGCUUGCUUGCUCAAUAAAAGCCUAUAUGGAUUAAAACAGUCACCUAGGCAAUGGUAUUUGAAAUUCGAUGAGUUUAUGAUCACACAUGGCUACAGCAGAAGUAAAUAUGACAGUUGUGUGUACUCUAAGGCUCUAACCUCUGGAAAUUUCAUUUACCUUUUACUCUAUGUGGAUGACAUGCUCCUGGCAUGUAAACAAAGAGAAGAGCUGGAGUGGCUUAAAGGUGAACUAAGCUCAGAAUUUGAAAUGAAGGACCUAGGUCCAGCCACCAAAAUAUUGGGAAUGCAUAUAAUCAGAGAUAGAGUUUCUAAAACCCUUUUCUUGUCUCAGACAGGAUAUGUGGAGAAGGUUCUCAGUAGAUUUGGAAUGAAUGAAUCCAAACCAGCCUUAACUCCUUUAGGAGCUCAGUUCAGACUCUCUAAACAGGAAGAGCCAAAAGAUAAUGCAGAGGUUGAACACAUGAAGAAUAUACCAUACACUAGUGUGAUUGGUUGUAUUAUGUAUGCCAUGGUCUGCACCAGACCUGAUUUGGCCUAUGGAAUUGGAGUCUUGAGCAGAUUCAUGUCAAAUCCUGGAAAACAUCAUUGGCAUGCAGCUAAAUGGAUGUUGAGGUAUUUAAAGGGCACAGCUGGUAUGGGUAUAGUAUAUGGAAGGGUUGACAAAAGCUCAGAUCAAAUUCAAGGAUAUGUUGAUUCAGACUUUGCUGGUGAUCUGGAUAAAAGAAGGUCAAUCACUGGUUAUGUUUACACUUUGUGUGGUGGAGCAGUCAGCUGGAAAGCUUCUUUACAGUCAGUAGUUGCUUUGUCAACUACUGAGGCAGAGUACAUAGCACUCUCAGAAGCAGUGAAAGAAGCAAUAUGGUUAAAAGGGUUAGUAGCAGAGUUAGGCCUGGAGCAAGGAUCAGUCAAUAUCAACUGUGACAGUUCUAGUGCCAUCCAGUUGAGCAAGAACCCAAAAUACCAUGAGAGAACAAAACAUGUGGAUAUAAGGUUACACUUCAUCAGAGAUGAGAUUGCUCAAGAAGUUGUAAAUGUAAUUAAGAUUGCAUCAGAAUGUAACCCUGCAGACAUGCUUACGAAGACUCUGCCAUCAGUCAAGUUCAAAGCUGCUUUGAAUUUGAUUGGCAUGGUUAUUUAGUAGAUCUAGUUAUGGUUGGUUGGUUCAGUGACUGAGAGAAGCUUUAACAGAAUAAAACUAGGUGGAGAUUUGUGAAGCCAGCAAGUAGUUAUAUUCUGUUUAAUUGAAUGAGGUGGCAUGCUGAGUUGGCAUAAGAUCCUUGAGUCUGUUAAAUCUGUUAAUGAAGAAUAACAGUUGGCACUCUUCUUUCGUAGCUAAGGAGUUAUAAAAGGGCAGCAAGGAGAUACAUUGGAGAUACGAGUGUAUGAGAGAUUCUUGGAGUGAGAUAUAGAACUUUUGUGAGAAGUUAAUAUCUCUGUAAUCUCAUCAUCUUUUGUAAACCAUCUUUCAUUCUAAAUAAAGCUUAGAGCUGUGCUGUUUCAACCGUGGAUGUAGGCUUUUUGUGGCCGAACCACGUUACAUCUUCUUGCCUUUAUCUUUUAUAUUCUUGGUAUCUUUGGUUGUUUGGUUUAGAUCUUUAGUGAGAAUACAUUUGUUCGUAUGCUUGUUUUCUUAAAGAAGCUUGAAAGUGCUGGGCUAAGUUCUUAACACACAUCCUAGCCAUUUGCAUGGAGUACAAGAGACACAAGGACGGGGUAGAUCUUUCUGCGAUCAUUGCCAGAAAUAUGGGCAUAUAAAAGCCAAAUGUUACAAAAUUGUUGGCUACCCACCAAACUGGAAACAUUCAAAUCGAUCGCAUGUUGCUGCUCCUACAACCACAAAGCCACAACAACUAGAUGAUCAUCCCAUUCCAACAGACAAGAAUGCAUCAUCUCAGCCUACUAUCCAAAUUCCUGGUCUCACGGCUGAACAAUAUCAACAAUUAUUAUCUAUACUUUCAACAAGUGAGCAACCAUCUACUGCAAACUUAGCUGGUAAAAUCUUUCCUUUUUGCAAUUCUGCUAUUAACUCAUAUAAUAAUUCUUGGAUAAUUGAUAGUGGGAAUCUGAUCACAUGACCCCUAAUAUUUCUUCCUUUAAAAAUUUUGUGCCCAUGUCUCAUGUCAAACCCGUGAGACUACCAAAUGGCACAACUGUUCCUACAACAAAAUGUGGAUCCAUUAAAUUAUCCUCCUCUUUGACUUUAGAUAAUGCCUUAUUGGUUCCUCAUUUUAAUUUUAAUCUAUUAUCUGUAAGCAAGCUAACCAAGGAUUUGAACUGUGCUGCUAUAUUUUUUUCCUUCAUUUUGUGUUUUUCAGGACCUUUCAACGAAGAAGCUGAUUGGAAAGGGUGAAGUUUGGGAUGGACUAUAUUAUUAUGAGCUUAUCAAUGGUCAUUCUUCCCUUCCUUCAGUAAUGAACGUUGCAAAGGAACCCAAUUCCAAUCUUUGACAUUUGCGACUCGGUCACCCUUCUAAAGACCGAAUGCAGCGUUUGUCUUUUAUUUCUGAUAUUGCAUCAUUUAAUUCUUGUUGUGAAAUUUGUCAACUUUCAAAAAACACUAGAAGUUCAUUUCAAUUGAAUAAAAAUCAUUCUGAUAUGCCAUUUCAAUUAAUUUUUUGUGAUAUUUGGGGACCUCAUCGCACAUCUACAUAUACGGGAGCAUAUUAUUUUCUUACUAUUGUUGAUGACCAUACUCGUUGUACUUGGGUUUACCUCAUACGGCACAAGUUUGAAGCUUUUCAAUUAUUAAAAAAUUUUUACUUCUUGAUCAAGACACAAUUUCACACACAAAUUAAAAAAAAAAAUUUGUAUUAAUCAAGGAAGUGAAUUUUUAUCAAAUCAGAUGCAAUUUUUUUCAUGAGCAUGGCAUCUUGCAUGAACACACUUGUGUUGAAACACCUCAACAAAAUGGGGUAGCAGAACGCAAGUAUCGACAUAUUUUAGAAGUUGCACGUGCAUUAUGUUUUCAAGCACAUUUACCUUUGUCUUUCUGGGGAGAUUGUGUUUUAGUUGCAACCCAUUUAAUUAAUCGUAUACCCACUCCUAAUCUUGGUGGUCAAUCACCUUAUGAAAUGCUUUUUAAGACUAAACCUCACUAUGAUCUUCUUCGUGUCUUUGGCUGUCUUUGUUAUGCUCAUACCAACAGUGCUAAUCGUCAUAAAUUUGCUUCCCGUGCUACCAAGUGUAUAUUUGUUGGUUACCCAUUUGGGUAUCUCGGAUACAAAGUUUAUGAUAUCAUUAAUAAAAAGACUUUUAUUUCUCGUGAUGUUACUUUUGUGGAAACUGAAUUCCCAUUCAAAACUAUCACCAAUCAACAAGAAAAUAGCAAUCUUUUACCUCUUCCUAUCAUACUUCCUGCCAAUGAAAAUGCACAGCUCCUUCCAACUUCUUCCAAUGAAAAGCCACUCCACCAAGGUACAUCUGAUUCAAUAGUUCUCCCUUCUCCACCUCUUCGACGAUCCCAACGACAGUCUUGUCGUCCAAAUUAUCUUCAGAAUUAUAUUUUCUCUACUGCACUUCACGGUACAUUUGGCAACUCUAUUACUUUUACUAAUCAUCCACCAUUGGUAAGUUCUUUAUAUCCAUUAUCCAAGUAUUUAUCAUAUGACAAGUUUUCUAGUGAUCAUGUAGCCUUUCUUUAAGCUAUAUCUCACGGUGUUGAACCAACUACAUAUUCUCAAGCCGUUCAACAUGCUUAUUGGCGCAAUGCUAUGGAUAUAGAGAUUAAAGCUUUGGAGCAAAGUAACACUUGGACAAUACAAGAUCUACCCCCCGGCAAGAAACCAAUUGGUUGUAAAUGAGUGUUUAAAAUUAAAAGAAAAGCUGAUGGUUCUAUUGAUAGAUACAAAGCAUGCCUUGUUGCUAAAGGAUACACACAAACUGAAGGUUUGGAUUACCAUGAGACAUUUGCACCUGUUGCAAAACUUGUGACUGUUAGAUGUGUAUUGGCAAUGGCAGCUAUUCGAGGGUGGUUAUUAUUUCUGUUAGAUGUUCAUAAUGCAUUUCUUCAUGGCAACUUGCAUGAGGAAAUUUAUAUGACCUUACCUCCAGGAGUUCGUAAACAGGGGGAGUCUUAUCAAUUUUGUCGGUUAAACAAGUCCCUUUAUGGUCUUAAGCAAGCUUUUCAAAAAUUGGUUUGAAAAAUUCUCAUCCGCUCUUAAACAAAUUGGUUACAUUCAAUUUUGUGCUGAUUCUUGUUUAUUUACUAAUAUGCACGAUUCUCAUUUUACAUUGGUGCUUGUGUAUGUUGAUGAUAUAAUAAUUGCUGGUAACCAUCUUGACACUAUAACUGCAUUGAAGAUAUUUUUACAGGCUCAAUUUCAUAUUAAAGACUUGGGAACUUUGAAAUAUUUUUUAGGAAUUGAAGUGGCUCGUUCAAAGCAAGGGAUUUUCUUAAAUCAAAGGAAAUAUGCUUUAGAUAUACUUCAAGACAGUGGACAAUUAGGCACACGGCCAUCUUCUUUUCCAAUGGAAUAAAACUUGAAGCUCUCUAACGAUCAAGGAACCCUUUGUCAAAAUCCUGACCACUACUAACCACUGUCAUAGGAUGUCUCAUCUAUUUGACAAUCACCCGGCCAGAAAUUACAUAUGCUGUGAACAUACUUAGUCAAUUUAUGCACACUCCAAGACGACCACAUUAUGAUGUUGCCCUGCGUGUCUUACGUUACAUUAGAUCUUCUCCCGGCGCUGGUAUCCUCUUGUCCUCCGCUAGCUCUUUGGAACUCUCUGCCUUCUCAGAUUCAGAUUGGGCAAGUUGCCCCAUGACCCGUCGAUCCACCACUGAAUAUAUUAUCAUGCUCGGCAACAAUCCUAUUUCUUGGAAAACCAAGAAGCAACCAUUUGUAUCGCGCUCUUCCGCUGAAGCCGAAUAUCGAGCAAUGGCGACAACAACAUGUGAAUUGGUUUGGUUGAAAACUCUACUUCAUGAUCUUCAUGUGACCCAUCCAAUGCCUAUAACUUUACAUUGUGACAAUCAAGUUGUGCUUCAUAUCGCUGCGAAUCCCAUCUUCCAUGAGCGUACCAAGCACAUAGAAAUAGACUGCCAUCUUGUUCGUGAAAAGCUUCAUGCCAAAAUCAUUUCCUUAACUUAUGUGCCUUCACGACAACAAUUGGCUGACAGUUUUACCAAAGUUCUUGGUAAAGAUCAAUUUCAAUAUCUUCUUGGCAAGUUGGGAGUUACGGAUCUUCACUUUCCAACUUGAGGGGGAGUAUUAGAACAAGAAUCAAUCGGUCCUUGAUCUUAGCCACUAACUUAGCAUAUUGUAAUAUUCAUUCUCCUUUAUAUUCUUUCCUUUUCUAUUAUUUGACUGUUUGGUACUUGCCUUAGAUGAUUAUAGUAUUUUGGUAUAUAAGGAUCUUGUACACAGCAACAAAUAUAUAUGACCAUUUCCACAAUUCUUUACAGGAAGUAAGGAACAACUUCAUAGAUCCAUUAUUCUUAAAUUAUAAAAAUACAUAAACAACAUAUGUAUAUGAUUUUAGACAAAUCAAGAUAGUUUAAUUCAUACCUUUGUGAGUGAGAUCAAAGGAGGGAUAUUAUCAUAUUACCUCUUAAUGGCUAGAGACUCGUGUUGAUAAUGUGUUAUAUCAUUUAUCAAUUGGGAGUGCAACAAUAUAGCAAGAGAAAUAAAGAAGGCAAAUAAGAGACACAAUGUUUAGAGGGGAAUUUUAUUCAAUCUCAAAUAUAUACAAAUAGGAAGCAAAGGCCUGCUUUUAUAGUGAUACAAGCAUAAAGUAGUAAGUAAUACCUCGUAAUUAUAAGAGAUGACAAUCCUCAGAUUAGGGAGAUAAUGAGAGUUAUAAAAGAUGGAAAGUUACUUGUGAGGAGAUCGAAGAUUGCUUUGAUGAACAUCCACAUAUAUUAUAAUAAUUUCAUAACAUACAUUUACUUUUAAUUUAUUUUUAAGGUUAAUUGGUUAAUAAGCUUCUUGUGUAGUAGAUUGAUUAAUGUGCCCAAGAAUAUUGUUGGAUGCUAUUAUUUUAAAGGCAAAGAAAAAUAAGGCAUAAGUGUCACAUGUUCAAUAGCAGGGAUGUUUUGAGGAAUUUCUUAAAAUAAAAAGACUAAGUAGAUCUUUAGCCCAAAAUAUAGGGAUUAAGCAAGCAUUCAUCCUAUUGAAAAGCAAAGUAAACUAAUGUAACCAUAAUUGAAUAUAAAGUUAACUCUUCUAUGGCAUUAUAGAGAACAAAAGAAGGAAAAAUAUUAUUCAAAUUCAAGAUAAGAAGGUAGUUUAUUAACUGUCUAAAGUUCAAAAUUUUAUUAAUUUCAGACCUUUUUUAAAAUUUACUUAUUUGUUUUUUUGUAACUUAUGUUUGAUUUUUAGAUAUUUACAUCUGAAUAGAAAAAGUAAGAUUUUUUGACUUUUAUCUAAAUGGAAAAAGAUCUGAAUGAUUAGUAAAUAUUAUAUUCCAUAAAUAUCUCUAUAAAAUAACUUAUUUCCUAAUCUAUAAAAUAGAAUCCCCUUUUUUUAUUUUGAUUUACAAGGACGUAAAUGUCAAAGAACUAAGUUUAAGAUGUUUUUUAUUAUAAAAACAAAUAAGAUGCCACUUACAUUCAUAUAUUAAAAAAUGAAAAACAAACAUGUGAUUCAAAUUUUCGUAUUCAAACCCAUUCAAACUUGAAAAAAAUUUAGACACAUUCAAAUUUCAGACAAAAAAGACAAAUACUACUUCAAUUUUUUUUUCGCUUUGCAACUGCCCACUGCUAACCAAAUAAAAAAAGAUUUUCAAUUUGGAAUUAUGUUAUCCAACAUAUGAAGACAAUUCUUCCUUUGAACGAAUCUUUAUGAUUGUUUUCUGAACGAAUAUUGCUCUAAAUUAAAAUAUUUUAGAACAAAAAAUAGUUGAUUGCCAAAUGUACAAUAGGUACAAUUUUCUUUUUUCAGCUCUCUUUUGGAAGAGAACUAUGUCGUCCUUUAUAAUUAUUAUUUCUUGAAAGAAUACAAACUUAAAUUACUGGCUUUUUAUUUGUAAAAUCAUAUAAAAUAGACUCUUUUAAGGAAAAUAUCUCAUACCGGAGAUAAUAAUUUCUGGACUAAGAAUAUAAACUUAAAACAGCACUACUAUCAAAUUAUCUUUAAAAGAGUUCCUUGAUCAAAAGAAUUUAUUUAUCAUUUUUCACAGUUUAAAAAAAUAAAAAAAAUUACAUAGAAAUAAUUGGAAGAUUUCCUAAAUAAGCAUCAAAUAAAUGCUAAUUUAUUGCAUGAUACUUGGAAGAAACCAUAAAUAAAAAUUAAGGAUUUAUAAUUUUAAAGACAAGUUGGGAGUUUAAAUUUUCUUGCCAUCUUGAGGGAGAAUAAUAAGACCGAAAUAAUAUUGAUGAAACAAAAUAAUCAAUCAAAUAUUUGAUUGUCUUCAUCUUAAUCAGUGAUCAAGAAAAAUUGGUUGUUAAUUAACAUAAAAAUUGAUUGACUCAAUAUUUACUAAUAGAUCAUUAUUCCCAAAUUAUGUUAAUUAUAUAUAUUUCAAAUACUUAUAAGAAUUGAGUUUGCUUACGGUUUAUUAAAUAUAGUCUCUUAAAAGUUUACAUGUGGCCCAUACAAAGCUAACAUUACUCUGUUAUAGCAUUUCGGGCAUCCAACAAGAUCCUCUUCUUCACUUAUUGUUAGAACUAGAGCUAACAAAUUAAUUACUUAAUCACGGCUAAGUUUGGAAUUAAAAUCAAACUAAAUUAUCUAAUUGGUUGAGUUCGGUUUCCGUUUGUAUGGGCUACAUGAAAUUUUUUCUCUCAUCUUCUCUCGUCUGCUAAUCGCAUCUUUCUCUCUUUCGACUCUCUAAUUUCUCUCUUGGAUUUGGUUACCAAGCACAUAAAAUUGAAGCCACCAUCUCGCUCAUAACAAACAACUAGUCGGAUCCACCAAACUGUUGCUGUCAUCUUGAGCCAUUCAAGUAACUUGAACACAUCAUCUUCUCGUAAAUUCUCUUUCAUUUUCGAAUUAAAGACAAGGUAAGGAUGUAAUCUUGACUUUUGUGUUUUUUGUGAUGACUACAGAAAAUGCUAUAUGAAACAAUUAGGGAUUUAUGUGCUAUAUAAUAAUAAUAAUAAUAAUAAUAAUAACAACAACAACAACAACAACAAGUAGUCAUUUAUGAAUUUUGAGUGAAAAAAUAGGGAUUUAUGUGCUUCUUCUUCUUCUUCUUCUUCUUCUUCUUAUUAUUAUUAUUAUUAUUAUUAUUUUCCCUAUAUUAAACAAGUAGUCAUUUAUGAAUUUUGAGUGAAAAAUUCACUCGGCUGUGGCAAAUUUUGUGCCUUACAAGUAGUCGAUUUCACGCAUUCAUCAUCACCAUUACUAUGUUCAUUAUUAUUUGCUAUUGUUUUUUACUUUUUCUGCUGUUAUUGAUUAAAUUGACAUUAAAUUUAUGUCUUGUUCAUUACAAGACUUAGGGUGCGUUUGGGAUUGAGGUUGGGCAGCUGUAGCUUAAAAGCUACAGCACUAAAGUGUUUGGUAAACACUAGCUGUUGUAGCUUUUAAGAUAUGUUGAUAUGAUUUUUCACUUGUAUAAUAUAAAAUUUAUUAUAUCUUUAAUAAUUUUAUCAAAAUUAUUAUUUAAAAUUUAUAUUUACUAUUAUUAUUAACUUUUGUUUUAUAAUUACAGCUUUUUUUUCACAGCAGCUGUAGCUUAAAAGCUACAGCACCUCAAUCCCAAACGCACCCUUAACAAUAUAAUCCAGUUGUAACAUGGACACUACAGAUGAUACAAGUGCGCAAGACCUAGUCAGAGAGCGUAGUACACUUUUUGUAAGUAUAAACUAAUUGAUAUUUUUCGAGUUGUUAUGUUAGCAACCAUUUUAAAAACACUUUUGUUUUCGAAUUUUGGUUACGUUGAAGUGAAGGGGAUUGAGUUGCCAUUAAAAAUCAAAGUAUUUUGGUCUUUAUAAACAAAGCGCUUUUGUGGAAUAGAUCUAAGAAGAUGCUAAUCUUCUUAAUAAAUUUUUUUUAAAAAAAAUUCUAUUACUCUUGGUGCAACAAAUUUCCUAGUCCCAAAACCUUGUCAUAGAAAAAAAAAAAAAAAAAAAAAGAAAACAGAAAAAGAGUGAAAAUCUCUUCGGUCAACCAAAUUACUCAAAUUCGUAAAAUAAUAUAAUACUUGAACCUUAAAAAUAAAAGCUCUAUAUAUUACUAUAUAAACAGUGAUAAACACAAUUACUAUCUAAGCCCACUCGAAGUUUUAUCAUACAGUCGUAUAUUUAUCACCUUAUGUACGUAUAUUGUAAUUUGGAUACGUUAUUUAAUUGUAUUUAUAUUGUGUAUAUUUACCACAUUAUGUACGUAUAUAAAAUAUAACGUAUAUUGUGUAAACUCUACUAUAAACAAUUAAUAUUUGGUCAUAUUUCUUUUGGCAAAUAACCCCCUGGGAUUUCUUCUUUAUCGCAACAUGAAAUUGAAGAUAUUUAAAAGGUUUUGAAACGUUAUUUUUAUUGAAUGGAGUUGCCAUUUUUAAUUUUGGUUGCAAAUAAUAAUUCCUUGGUGGUUACAAUAUUUUUAAAUAUCCCCAUUAAGGCUGUAGGGGCUACAAAUCUUCAUUCUAGAUCUGUAACAUAUGACUAUGAAUUAUAUAUAAAUGAGCUAUUUUUCUUUAUCUUUGGAUAUAUUAUAUACUCUAUUGUUUUCUCCGAAACUCUACGAUAAACAAUUAAUACUUUUCUUUGCAACUUCGACAAAUGAGCUAAGGAAUGUUAAUGCAUUCAUUAAUUAUUCAAUUUCUUAUCUAAAGACUAAGAUUCUUUUAUUUUUUAUUCUAUCAAUUUAUUAUUAUCGUAAAACAAUUGCGGGUGAGUAUAUUUAAACUCAUUAGAUCACUUCCUAUAUCCUAAAUCAAUAAAUAAUUUUAUUACAAAAUUACUGAAAAAUCCUUUUAAUUUCUUGAAUACCCAAAAAGUAAAAUUACCAUUCUAGAUGGAGGAUAAAUCUUUAAAACUGCCUUAAACGCAUCUUAUUUGUUCAUACACACACAAGUUAUUAAACAACCAUGGAUGUUGAACCAAAGUGUCAAACUUAGUUUCUGGUUGUCAAAUUUUCUUCCUAUUGGACAUCUAAAUCGUUUUGUAGUCAGUAACAUAGUCAGAAAAUCAAAUUAGUGGGGUAGAAUGACUGACAUAAAAUAUAAAGAAAUUUUUUUACUGUGUUCUUUAUCUAUUUUUCUAAUAUUUUUAGCAUUCCUCCUUACAUAUGUCUUAAUAGCAUGUUUAAUUUGAAGAAAUAAAAUAAGAAGAGAUGAGAGAUAAGGAGAAUGGGAACAAUAAAUAAUGGAAAAAGAGAUAUAAUUAUAUAUUAAAUUAAACAAUGAAAUUGAGAAUGAUCCUAUUUUUUCCCUCAUUUUUGAUCACUUACUCUAAGGAACCAGAACUUUAAGGAAAGACAGACAAAUCAUAAAGAUUGAAGAGCAGGAAUUUUUGUUCUCCUUUUUAAAUAAAAAAUUUCAUUUCAAUGGAUUUUUAUUAUUAAAUUAGUCUUUCUCUAAAUCAGAUCAAAUAUAUUAGAUCUUAAAUCUUGUUUUUAAUGAAAUUAAUUACGUUUUGGGCAUUUAAAUUAUGAAAUUGGACAAGAUUUGUGUGUGAUUUUAAAAUAAAUAUGAACUUGAAUUUGAUGCAUUUAAUUAAUCCAAAGAGGCAAAUUUAUAAUUUCAACUUCUAAAUAAAACAUAUCAUUUGAAUUUUAUCAGUGGUUUCUAACAAUAACUGACAGGUCAUUAUAAUAAUUAUAAAUGUAAUAUUUAUUUUUAUAAUUAUACAGUUAUGAUCAAUGCUAUGCUGUAGUGCCGUUCCAAAGGCAACUGCUCCCACUAUAAUUAUAAUCAUUAAGCAAGAACUUGCAAAAGCAACUUAAUUACAAGUAAUCUUUCCUCUGUUCUUAUUUUCAGUUCAAUUUGGUCCCGAGAAUAAUGAUGUUGACGACAACAAAAAUAAUAAUUGAUGCAUCUUGCUGUUUAAUAAGGCAAGCUCGAAAUAAAUCAAAUCCUAGUCAUACAAAAAUUCAAAUGAUAUGAGCCAUGAUCUCUUGCCAAGCUUCAGACAAGUUAAAUUAUAAGAGGAUCUUGAUAAGUUAAAUUAUGAACAGACAUUUACGCUGUGGACCCAUUCAUGCAUCCCCGUUUCGAUUUUGCAAUUUAACGUAGCCGUUAAUCUUACCUAGCCAUGUGUACGAGAAAAACUCCGCCGUCGAUCCGUAUAUGUAAGCACCAAGCAUGCAUUAUUAUUUUACCAAUUAUAAAGCACCGACACCCAGGGCCAGCCUAGAAUUAUAAUACUAUUUUUUUUUUUGGAUCAGGACGAAAUUAUUAUUGAAUAAUAAUUAAAACAAAAAAAAUCUGAAUCUUUCUAUGAUUGUAUCAACUUAUUAUGCAUGCCUAUGUUAUUGCCCAGUUGCCUAUGUUAUUGACAUCUACUACGAAGUUAGAAAUUGGUCUUAAUUAAUUAGAUAUGUUUCGAAAUUGGUCUUAAUUAAUUAGAUGCAUUUCUCAUUUGAAUUAUUUGGAGACGUGUAUAAUACAGGUCAAGUUUUCUAAUAAGAGGUUAGUGACUUUAUUUCUUUUAUUGGCUCAUAUUGAUUUAUGUGGCUAUCAUUCCUAGCUAAUUCGAUUAUUUAUCAAUAAUUUUAUUGAACAAAUUGAUUUAUUGGUUAAAAUAAGUUGUUCUUAUUAUUGUUUUUGACUAGAAGGUCUCAAUAAAGUUGGAAUAAAUAAAUUUUCAUCUAUGUCUCGCACUUACGUAAAAUAAAAGAAAAAAUCAUAAUUACAAAGAAAUUAAGAACCAAUGUCAAUCAUGUAAAAUCAAAUAUUUAAACAAUCAAAAUUUUAUCACUUCUGAGUUUAAGACUUUUUUCUUUCAUAUGUUAGAAAAUAAAAUUUUGAUGGAAUUUUUUUUUUUUAAAAUGAAAUUGGGAAUUAGAAAAUUUCAUUUCCAAGACUUUUUUCUUUCAAAUUAAGACUGCACGUGAUAAUUGCGGUUAGUUUUCCCCUGUUAUCAAUUAUUGCCACCGGAUGGGACCCACGUAAUUCGUCUAAUUGAACUGUACCCGGUUAUUCGCAAUCCACACCGGGCAAACUUGAAUCAUCUAUAUAUAUUACAUCAAAUUGUCAAAUCGGAAGCGAGAACUCGAAAAAGUAAUUUAGUAAAACUCGCCGCCUAUAAAAUUCAAAACCGAGGGCCAAGACGAAGUAUUCACUCAAGGACCGCGAGUCACGCAUUGUGGUGUGAACGGUUACCAAAACAACGAAAAUGAACCAACGUCUUUGCUGUCUUAUUGUUCUCUUUCUCUCCGUGGUCCCUCUCCUGGCCGCCGGCGACCGUAAAGGAGCGUUGGUUGGGGGAUGGAAGGCGAUAGAGGACCCCAAGGAGAAGCACGUGAUGGAGAUUGGGCAGUUCGCGGUGACGGAGUACAACGAACGGUCAAAGAGCGCGUUGAAGUUUGAGAGCGUGGAGAAGGGCGAGACUCAGGUGGUUUCCGGCACCAAUUACCGGCUGAUCUUGGUCGUCAAGGACGGUCCUUCGAUCAAGAAAUUUGAAGCUGUCGUUUGAGAGAAGCCAUGGGAGCAUUUCAAGAGUCUCACCUCGUUUAAGCCUAUGUUUGGGGGAUGGACUCCGAUAGACCCCACGGAGAAGCACGUGAUGGAGAUCGGGCAGUUCGCGGUGACGGAGUACAACAAACGGUCAAAGAGCGCGUUGAAGUUCGAGAGGGUGGAGAAGGCCGAGACUCAGGUGGUUUCCGGCACCAAUUACCGGCUGAUCUUGGUCGUCAAGGACGGACCUUCGACCAAGAAAUUUGUAGCUGUCGUUUGGGAGAAGCCAUGGGAGCAUUUCAAGAGUCUCACCUCGUUUAAGCCUAUGUUUGGGGGAUGGACUCCGAUAGACCCCACGGAGAAGCACGUGAUGGAGAUCGGGCAGUUCGCGGUGACAGAGUAAUACAAACGGUCAAAGAGCGCGUUGAAGUUCGAGAGCGUGGAGAAGGCCUGGACUCAGGUGCUUUCCGGCACCAAUUACCGGCUGAUCUUGGUCGUCAAGGACGGACCUUCGACCAAGAAAUUUGAAGCUGUCGUUUGGGAGAAGCCAUGGGAGCAUUUCAAGAGUCUCACCUCGUUUAAGCCUAUGUUUGGGGGAUGGACUCCGAUAGACCCCACGGAGAAGCACGUGAUGGAGAUCGGGCAGUUCGCGGUGACAGAGUACAACAAACGGUCAAAGAGCGCGUUGAAGUUCGAGAGCGUGGAGAAGGCCUGGACUCAGGUCGUUUCCGGCACCAAUUACCGGCUGAUCUUGGUCGUCAAGGACGGACCUUCGACCAAGAAAUUUGUAGCUGUCGUUUGGGAGAAGCCAUGGGAGCAUUUCAAGAGUCUCACCUCGUUUAAGCCUAUGUUUGGGGGAUGGACUCCGAUAGACCCCACGGAGAAGCACGUGAUGGAGAUCGGGCAGUUCGCGGUGACAGAGUAAUACAAACGGUCAAAGAGCGCGUUGAAGUUCGAGAGCGUGGAGAAGGCCUGGACUCAGGUGCUUUCCGGCACCAAUUACCGGCUGAUCUUGGUCGUCAAGGACGGACCUUCGACCAAGAAAUUGUUAGCUGUCGUUUGGGAGAAGCCAUGGGAGCAUUUCAAGAGUCUCACCUCGUUUAAGCCUAUGCUUGGCGGAUGGACUCCGAUAGACCCCACGGAGAAGCACGUGAUGGAGAUCGGGCAGUUCGCGGUGACAGAGUACAUCAAACGGUCAAAGAGCGCGUUGAAGUUCGAGAGCGUGGAGAAGGCCUGGACUCAGGUGGUUUCCGGCACCAAUUACCGGCUGAUCUUGGUCGUCAAGGACGGACCUUCGACCAAGAAAUUUGAAGUUGUCGUUUGGGAGAAGCCAUGGGAGCAUUUCAAGAGUCUCACCUCGUUUAAGCCUAUGCUUGGGGAUGGACUCCGAUAGACCCCACGGAGAAGCACGUGAUGGAGAUCGGGCAGUUCGAGGUGACGGAGUGCAAUAAACGGUCAAAGAGCGCGUUGAAGUUCGAGAGCGUGGAGAAGGCCUGGACUCAGGUGGUUUCCGGCACCAAUUACCGGCUGAUCUUGGUCGUCAAGGACGGACCUUCGACCAAGAAAUUUGAAGCUGUCGUUUGGGAGAAGCCAUGGGAGCAUUUCAAGAGUCUCACCUCGUUUAAGCCUAUGUUUGGGGGAUGGACUCCGAUAGACCCCACGGAGAAGCACGUGAUGGAGAUCGGGCAGCUCGCGGUGACGGAGUACAACAAACGGUCAAAGAGCGCGUUGAAGUUCGAGAGCGUUUAGAAGGCCGAGACUCAAGUGGUUUCCGGCACCAAUUACCGGCUGAUCUUGGUCGUCAAGGACGGACCUUCGACCAAGAAAUUUGUAGCUGUCGUUUGGGAGAAGCCAUGGGAGCAUUUCAAGAGUCUCACCUCGUUUAAGCCUAUGUUUGGGGGAUGGACUCCGAUAGACCCCACGGAGAAGCACGUGAUGGAGAUCGGGCAGUUCGCGGUAACAGAGUACAACAAACGGUCAAAGAGCGCGUUGAAGUUCGAGAGCGUGGAGAAGGCCUGGACUCAGGUCGUUUCCGGCACCAAUUACCGGCUGGUCUUGGUCGUCAAGGACGGACCUUCGACCAAGAAAUUGUUAGCUGUCGUUUGGGAGAAGCCAUGGGAGCAUUUCAAGAGUCUCACCUCGUUUAAGCCUAUGCUUGGGGGAUGGAAUCCGAUAGACCCCACGGAGAAGCACGUGAUGGAGAUCGGGCAGUUCGCUGUGACAGAGUACAACAAACGGUCAAAGAGCGCGUUGAAGUUCGAGAGCGUGGAGACGGCCUGGACUCAGGUGGUUUCCGGCACCAAUUACCGGCUGAUCUUGGUCGUCAAGGACGGACCUUCGACCAAGAAAUUUGUAGCUGUCAUUUGGGAGUAGCCAUGGGAGCAUUUCAAGAGUCUCACCUCGUUUAAGCCUAUGCUUGGGGGAUGGACUCCGAUAGACCCCACGGAGAAGCACGUGAUGGAGAUCGGGCAGUUCGCGGUGACAGAGUACAACAAACGGUCAAAGAGCGCGUUGAAGUUCGAGAGCGUUGAGAAGGCUUGGACUCAGGUGGUUUCCGGCACCAAUUACCGGCUGAUCUUGGUCGUCAAGGACGGACCUUCGACCAAGAAAUUUGAAGCUGUCGUUUGAGAGAUGCCAUGGGAGCAUUUCAAGAGUCUCACCUCGUUUAAGCCUAUGCUUGGGGGAUGGACUCCGAUAGAGCCCACGGAGAAGCACGUGAUGGAGAUCGGGCAGUUCGCGGUGACAGAGUACAAUAAACGGUCAAAGAGCGCGUUGAAGUUCGAGAGCGUUGAGAAGGCUUGGACUCAGGUGGUUUCCGGCACCAAUUACCGGCUGAUCUUGGUCGUCAAGGACGGACCUUCGACCAAGAAAUUUGUAGCUGUCGUUUGGGAGUAGCCAUGGGAGCAUUUCAAGAGUCUCACCUCGUUUAAGCCUAUGCUUGGGGGAUGGACUCCGAUAGACCCCACGGAGAAGCACGUGAUGGAGAUCGGGCAGUUCGCGGUGACGGAGUACAACAAACGGUCAAAGAGCGCGUUGAAGUUCGAGAGCGUGGAGAAGGCCUGGACUCAGGUGCUUUCCGGCACCAAUUACCGGCUGAUCUUGGUCGUCAAGGACGGACCUUCGACCAAGAAAUUUGAAGCUAUCGUUUGGGAGAAGCCAUGGGAGCAUUUCAAGAGUCUCACCUCGUUUAAGCCUAUGGUUAAAUAGGGUGUUUAACAAAUAACAAAUGCAUGUAAUUGUUAAAUAAAGGAUAGGUAUACUAUUACCUAUCAAUCAUGGCAAUGUCUUAGUCUGUUUUAGUUCAACUUAUAAGAUUUCUUGAGAUGUACAAGAGAUCUUUUUGUUUACUUUUGAGCCAAGUAUUUUCCUGAAAAAGGAAAUAAAUCAAUAAAAAUUAUUGUGUGUCAACAUAUUGGUUAUAUUAGUCUAUACACGUCGGUUUUAAUUACCAUAUCUCCUCCUAAAUAUUUUACUUUUUUUGAAACAAGCUCAAAAAUUUGUUGUAUAAAAAACACUAUCACUUUCAAUCAUAACGUCCUCCUGGUCCUCCAUUGGGGAUAUUAUAGUGUGUCAUUCUGUAACCCAGAACUAUCAUUUAUUCCACCUCUACGAUAUCUUGUAAUGUUACUUGCAGCUUCAUAAGCCACAGAAACAUCAUCAAAAUCAACAAAUUGUUUUCUUUUCUUUUUUUUUAGGAAAGUAAUAAGAAAAAUAAAAGCUGCAUUAUUCUAUUUAUGAUCAAUAGAAGAAUUCAAGUGACUGGAGAAAAUUCAGAUUGUUCAAAAUGGGUUCUCAAACGAGAUAAGCCUCAGGUAGUAGACCUCACCAACAUCAAUACCAGACUCAAUCCAUUGAAUCGGUCUCGUCUUAAGCCUAACAGCUCCCUUCUAAUAUAAUCUAGUGAGAACGGUGAGGUGCUUGGUAUAUCAUACACCAAAAAUCAACGAUGCUUGGACUUUCAAGAAAAAGAGAAAAACAAAUGCAUGCACGGGGAAACGUACUAAUAAAAAGCAAAUCAUAUAAUUUACAAAUUAUUAUAGGCUUGUAGCCAUAAGAUCGAGAGAAACUAAAACAUUUCUUGCAUUUUCUGGCCAUAUUUUCUAAAUGAAGGGAUGGUCCAUUGCUGCUCUGCCAUACUGGAUCUCAAGAUGUCGUUAACAAUAGGUCUCAAGAUGUCACUAAAUUAUUGCCAGCAAAUGAUAUUUCGAGUCAAAAAAGUAUAUUCAAUUAUUGCAUAUAUGCUCCUAGGUAAUUUGCACAAUUGAAUUAUAGCUGUUAAUCUACUUAUUUACACAAUUGAUUAAUUUACGCAUCCAUUGCAAGACUUUCGCACUAGGUUUCAAUUUCAACCACAAAUCCUAGCUCUAGAUAAAAAUGAUGUGGUCGUAGAGAUUUCGAAUGUAUUCACUUUGUGAUUAACGGAAGCAUUGCUUUCAUUUGUAAGACGUUAAAUCAUCAUUUUGGUAAAGGAAAAAGAAUGAAAAAAGCUGCACUAUUUUAAAGGCCAUUUGGUAUAUGACCACUUCCCAUUGGACUUGGAGACCGGGUAAUUUUGUCAUCUCCACUCCUAGAAUCUGCUCUCAUGCUACUUGCAUGGUUCCAUCUUUGAAGUCUGGUACUGUUUUGUUUGGAAAAUACCCCACUAUAAUAUCUUCACGAAGAAAAUUGAUCCCCGUUAACUAGCGUGAUUAGCUUAGUUUCUUAAAUUCAACGUUCGUUUGGUUAAUUGUCUGUUAGUUUAGAAUUUUGAUUAGCCAAUAAAACAAUGAGUUUUAUUGUUUAAUAAGGCAAGUUGAAAUAAAUUCAAUCCUACUCACAGAAAAAUUUAAAUGACACAUAUCAUAAUCUUUUUCAUAUCUUCAGAAAAAUUAAAUCAUAAGAGGAUCAUGAACAAUUUGAUGAUGCUCUGAAAUAUAGUCUUCUGUUUUUCAAGGAAAAAAUAAGGAAGUUAAAAACAUGUUUAUCAGGUUUUUCAGAGAUCAUUUUGACGUUUUUGUUUAAAAACAUGAAAAUUGUUCUUAUUCUCGUAAAACAGAAAAAAUUAUCUGGCCGGUUAGCUAAUUAUUCUUGUUCUUCUGUUCUUUUUUAUUUGAAUUGUUUCUCCCUUUUCCAUUCAUUUUUCACUAUGAAAUUAAUUACUAAUUAAUCUACAGUUAGUUUCUCUACAGCUAAUAGGAACGUGAUUUAUGCCCGAAGACUCGCAUCUUUUUUAUUCAUUAUCUACAGUGCCUCACCUCCAAUCUAUGUAUAGGCGGACAUGCAUAUUUAUUAUAUCAAAUAAGUUAUUGAUGGAAAUUUCACUUUCGAAAUAGAGAAUUAUCCUUAAUUAAAUCUUUGUGGGCCUAAAUUCGAGUAAGAUUUAAUGAUGUAUGAUUCAAAAUUAUUGAAAUCGGACAUUUUAAACAAGAAAAAAAUAAAAAAUCUUGUUCUCUUUUUUAAAUAAUAAAUUUCAUUUUGAUGGAUUUUUAAUAUUAAAUUAGACAUUUGCUAAAUUGGCUCAAAUAUAAUAGAUCUUAGACCUUGCUUUUAAUGGAUUUAAUUAGGUUUUGGGCAUUUAAAUUAUACAACUGGAGACAGAAUUUAUAAAUAGAUAAGAUUCUAAUGUGAUUUUAAAAUAAUUUUGAACUUGAACUUGAACUUGAUGCAUUUAAUUAAUCCAGAAAGGUAAAUUUAUAAUUUCAACUUUUAAAUAAAACAUAUCCUUUGGAUUUUUUACAUAAACUAGAGGCAAUUGUACAAUAUUUACUUGACUAGUGGUAUAUAUCCCAAAUUUUUUAUCCUAAGAAAUGCCACAUCAUUUGGUUGAUGAGGAUAAUAUAAUUAAUUCACUUAGAUAUUAUAAAAAAUUAUCAACCAAUCAAUGAAUAACAUAUCAUUUUCAUUGGGAUGAAAUUUGAAAAAAAAAUUUAGGACGUCUAUCAUUACUUUAGUAAGAAAGCAUAUUAAGAUGGACUGACAUGUUUGGAUGCCCCAGCCUAAGAUGCAAGAGAUCAAUUUCUUUUGUUGUCUUGAAAUCCCUACUAUUUGACUCAACAACAUUGGCAACAUUUAACUCAUUACUACUAGAACAAAAAGAUAUCAUAGACAAAGGAUUGCUAAUGCAAUUUAUUGACUCAUACUCUAAAGAUAGAGGUAACUCAACAGCACAUUCAAUCUUGCGCUACUCAUGCACAUUAGCUCAUAUAGCCUAUCUUUAGUCACUCCUUUCAUUAGGAUUUUCACUUGGCUAAAGCAAGUAGAUUUUUGAAGCACAACAUCAAUAUCAUUAUCACGGAACAAUUUUGAGACAUUAAUAAGGUUCUUAGUAAUGCUAGGCACAGACAACGAGCUGUUUAGUUUAAUCUGUUUGUGUGGAUCAUAAGUGAGCAAUAUAGAGUAUCCAAUAUGAGAAAUCAAAAGUUUAUCACCAUUUCCAACAGUAGCUCAUCAUUACCUUGAUAUUAUGAAUUAAAGCUCAUGCUUCCAAUAGCACUGGUUGCAUGAUUUGUAGCACCAUUGUCAAGGUACCAAGCUCUACUAUUCUCACCGUCAACUGCAACCACAUAUGCUCUUCUUGGAUCUCUUCUUCUAUUUGGCUGUGGAACUGAUAUGAACCCUAUUAAGAACUAACAUGACCCUAACCAAUUUAGUCUCUAAGAUUGAAACCAAUUUUUUAUUUUUUUUAGAAGAGAUUGAAACCAAAUCUAAAAUUGAAUGGAACCGCGAUUUGAUCUCAAUGAAAGUACGAACCUUGGUAUGUGAUGACGUCACAAUUAGCUAUGGAUGAUCUUAUUGAUAAGUCAAGAGUUUGAACGCCACAGAAAUGCGAUAAAUUCAAAGGGUUAGUUUAAGAACCAAAGAGAAUUAGCUUUCUCACCAAUUGCAUCAAAAUUGAUGCCUUUCUUAUUGGAUACGAGUACAUUAGAUAGGGUUGGUUUAUAAGAAUUUUAAGAAAUAAAUCCUAAACCAAAAUCAAAUCAGAAUCCUAAUUUAAAGCAAAUAAUGAAAGAAACUAAAUCAAACCAGAAUCCUUAUUGGCUUAAAUGCCUUGCAUCAAUUAAAAAUGGAAACAAGGCAAUUAAAAGAGAAAUAAUUGAUUCGUUUUGCCACUUGCCUACUCAAGAAAUGGGAAAGUAUCCUAAAAGGAAAGUAGUAUAUUUUCCAAACGAGAAAACAUCUGAUAAGGUAAAUAAUGUAUUUUCUAGCCAUAAUGUGCAAACCAACUUGCUGAUUUUAUGGAAAUGAUUAUGUGGAAACUUAAAAAGCCUGAAUCACGUAUUUAGUGGUCUGAAUAUCAUGUGCGCUUUCUUCAACGGGCCUCCACGAAUUUGAUUGAGCUCAAGUUGCUUAAAUCAACCCAUUAAGCGAUUUUUUGAAUUUUUUUGCACGAGCUCUUGUGAUGGGUCCAACAGGAACUUGAAUGGGAUAUGAAUAUACCUCAUCCCAUGUGCUUGUGACAGUUUUGUCCUCAAUAUCAUAUUUUUUCCUUCAAAGAAACAAUUUUGCUUCAUAUGGAAAAGGAAAUUCUUAUGUAGCCUUACAUGAUUUAUACAUAAACUCAUAAUAUUUGUGUAGUCCUUCAUGAACAUGUGAAAUAUACACUUAUAUAGUGAAUCCUUCAUGAACAAGAUGUUAGUGAAUAACAUCAUAAUUUUGGAAUAGUCUUUCAGGAACAUAUUUUGAAAGAAAAUCUUCAUUAUGUAUAGUGCGAUCCUUAGAGAUGCAUUCUUAAUUUUCUUUCAUUAUAUAUUAUAAUAUUCAUACUUUAGGAUGAAUAUUUUGAAUUUCAAGAAUAGAAAAUAUAUAAUAGCAAUUGAAUAUUAUAAUAUAAAAAAUCAAACAAUAACAAAAUCAAUCAAUGGAACAUUAAAUAAAUGUUGGAAUCCAAAUCUCAUAAAAUAUAUGUAAUCAUUAAUAAAGGAAGUAUUAGAACAAGAAUCAAUCGGUCCUUGAUCUUAGCCACUAACUUAGCAUAUUGUAAUAUUCAUUCUCCUUUAUAUUCUUUCCUUUUCUAUUAUUUGACCGUUUGGUACUUGCCUUAGAUGAUUCUAGUAUUUUUGUAUAUAAGGAUCUUGUACACAGCAACAAAUAUAUAUGAGCAUUUCCACAAUUCUUUACAUGGUAUCAGAGAAAAUUUUGCUCAUUUAUGCUUUUCUCUUUGACAAUCAUGUCUAGUAGUUUGAAUCCAAUAUCAGAAACAUCAAAUUCCCUCAUUACCGAUGCUUCUUCACCAUACUUUCUUCAUUCAUCUGAUCAUCCUGGAGCCAUUCUUGUAUCUAAUGUGCUAACAGGUGAUAAUUAUUCAACAUGGAAAAUAUCCAUGAAGAUGGCAUUAAAUGCCAAAAACAAAUUGGGUUUUAUUGAUGGAAGCAUACAAAAACCUUCAUCAACCUCACAAGAUUUAAAAACUUGGGAGCGAUGCAAUGACAUGGUCCUUUCAUGGAUGCUCAAUGGAAUAGAGAAAAAUCUUGCCAACAGCCUCAUUUAUUGUGAUACUCCACGCUCUCUUUGGCUUGGGUUGGAAGAACGUUUUUCACAAAGUAAUAAUCCACGGAUUUAUGAACUUAAGAGAGCCAUAUGCAAUCACUAGCAAGAGCAAAAAUCAUUAGUGAUUUAUUUUAAUACUUUGAAAUUUUAUUAGGAUGAAUUGUCCACAUUAACCACUAUUUCUUCUUGCAAGUGUGAAACUUCAUAUGAAUUGCAGGGAUUACUAGAGACUGAAAAGGUGUUUCAAUUCCUAAUGGGUCUCAAUGAUUCAUAUUCUUCGGUACGAAGUCAAAUCUUAGCCAUGGAACCACUUCCAAAUGUUGGAAAAACAUAUUCAAUUAUUCAUCAGGAAGAACGUCAACGACUUCUCCAUGUUUCCAGUCAACCAUCCAUUGAAUCAACAGCCUUGACAGCCAAUAAUAAGACUCAAAUGACCAGCUGUCAAAAUCAUUCACAUCCUAGCCAUUUGCAUGGAGUACAAGAGACACAAGGACGGGGUAGACCUUUCUGCGAUCAUUGCCAGAAAUAUGGGCAUAUAAAAGCCAAAUGUUACAAAAUUGUUGGCUAUCCACCAAACUGGAAACAUUCAAAUCGAUCGCAUGUUGCUGCUCCUACAACCACAAAGCCACAACAACUAGAUGAUCAUCCCAUUCCAACAGACAAGAAUUCCUGGUCUACUAUCCAAAUUCCUGGUCUCACGGCUGAACAAUAUCAACAAUUAUUAUCUAUACUUUCAACAAGUGAGCAACCAUCUACUGCAAACUUAGCUGGUAAAAUCAUUCCUUUUUGCAAUUCUGCUAUUAACUCAUAUAAUAAUUCUUGGAUAAUUGAUAGUGGGGCAUCUGAUCACAUGACCCCUAAUAUUUCUUCCUUUAAAAAUUUUGUGCCCAUGUCUCAUGUCAAACCCGUGAGACUACCAAAUGGCACAACUGUUCCUACAACAAAAUGUGGAUCCAUUAAAUUAUCCUCCUCUUUGACUUUAGAUAAUGCCUUAUUGGUUCCUCAUUUUAAUUUUAAUCUAUUAUCUGUAAGCAAGCUAACCAAGGAUUUGAACUGUGCUGCUAUAUUUUUUUCCUUCAUUUUGUGUUUUUUAGGACCUUUCAACGAAGAAGCUGAUUGGAAAGGGUGAAGUUUGGGAUGGACUAUAUUAUUAUGAGCUUAUCAAUGGUCAUUCUUCCCUUCCUUCAGUAAUGAACGUUGCAACGGAACCCAAUUCCAAUCUUUGACAUUUGUGACUCGGUCACCCUUCUAAAGACCGAAUGCAGCGUUUGUCUUUUAUUUCUGAUAUUGCAUCAUUUAAUUCUUGUUGUGAAAUUUGUCAACUUUCAAAAAACACUAGAAGUUCAUUUCAAUUGAAUAAAAAUCGUUCUGAUAUGCCAUUUCAAUUAAUUUUUUGUGAUAUUUGGGGACCUCAUCGCACAUCUACAUAUACGGGAGCAUAUUAUUUUCUUACUAUUGUUGAUGACCAUACUCGUUGUACUUGGGUUUACCUCAUACGGCACAAGUUUGAAGCUUUUCAAUUAUUAAAAAAUUUUUACUUCUUGAUCAAGACACAAUUUCACACACAAAUUAAAAAAAAAAUUUGUAUUAAUCAAGGAAGUGAAUUUUUAUCAAAUCAGAUGCAAUUUUUUUCAUGAGCAUGGCAUCUUGCAUGAACACACUUGUGUUGAAACACCUCAACAAAAUGGGGUAGCAGAACGCAAGUAUCGACAUAUUUUAGAAGUUGCACGUGCAUUAUGUUUUCAAGCACAUUUACCUUUGUCUUUCUGAGGAGAUUGUGUUUUAGUUGCAACCCAUUUGAUUAAUCGUAUACCCACUCCUAAUCUUGGUGGUCAAUCACCUUAUGAAAUGCUUUUUAAGACUAAACCUCACUAUGAUCGUCUUCGUGUCUUUGGCUGUCUUUGUUAUGCUCAUACCAACAGUGCUAAUCGUCAUAAAUUUGCUCCCCGUGCUACCAAGUGUAUAUUUGUUGGUUACCCAUUUGGGUAUCUCGGAUACAAAGUUUAUGAUAUCAUUAAUAAAAAGACUUUUAUUUCUCGUGAUGUUACUUUUGUGGAAACUGAAUUCCCAUUCAAAACUAUCACCAAUCAACAAGAAAAUAGCAAUCUUUUACCUCUUCCUAUCAUACUUCCUGCCAAUGAAAAUGCACAGCUCCUUCCAACUUCUUCCAAUGAAAAGCUACUCCACCAAGGUACAUCUGAUUCAAUAGUUCUCCCUUCUCCACCUCUUCGACGAUCCCAACGACAGUCUUGUCGUCCAAAUUAUCUUCAGAAUUAUAUUUUCUCUACUGCACUUCACGGUACAUUUGGCAACUCUAUUACUUUUACUAAUCAUCCACCAUUGGUAAGUUCUUUAUAUCCAUUAUCCAAGUAUUUAUCAUAUGACAAGUUUUCUAGUGAUCAUGUAGCCUUUCUUUAAGCUAUAUCUCACGGUGUUGAACCAACUACAUAUUCUCAAGCCGUUCAACAUGCUUAUUGGCGCAAUGCUAUGGAUAUAGAGAUUAAAGCUUUGGAGCAAAGUAACACUUGGACAAUACAAGAUCUACCCCCCGGCAAGAAACCAAUUGGUUGUAAAUGAGUGUUUAAAAUUAAAAGAAAAGCUGAUGGUUCUAUUGAUAGAUACAAAGCAUGCCUUGUUGCUAAAGGAUACACACAAACUGAAGGUUUGGAUUACCAUGAGACAUUUGCACCUGUUGCAAAACUUGUGACUGUUAGAUGUGUAUUGGCAAUGGCAGCUAUUCGAGGGUGGUUAUUAUUUCAGUUAGAUGUUCAUAAUGCAUUUCUUCAUGGCGACUUGCAUGAGGAAAUUUAUAUGACCUUACCUCCAGGAGUUCGUAAACAGGGGGAGUCUUAUCAAUUUUGUCGGUUAAACAAGUCCCUUUAUGGUCUUAAGCAAGCUUUUCAAAAAUUGGUUUGAAAAAUUCUCAUCCGCUCUUAAACAAAUUGGUUACAUUCAAUCUUGUGCUGAUUCUUGUUUAUUUACUAAUAUGCACGAUUCUCAUUUUACAUUGGUGCUUGUGUAUGUUGAUGAUAUAAUAAUUGCUGGUAACCAUCUUGACACUAUAACUGCAUUGAAGAUAUUUUUACAGGCUCAAUUUCAUAUUAAAGACUUGGGAACUUUGAAAUAUUUUUUAGGAAUUGAAGUGGCUCGUUCAAAGCAAGGGAUUUUCUUAAAUCAAAGGAAAUAUGCUUUAGAUAUACUUCAAGACAGUGGACAAUUAGGCACACGGCCAUCUUCUUUUCCAAUGGAAUAAAACUUGAAGCUCUCUAACGAUCAAGGAACCCUUUGUCAAAAUCCUGACCACUACUAACCACUGUCAUAGGAUGUCUCAUCUAUUUGACAAUCACCCGGCCAGAAAUUACAUAUGCUGUGAACAUACUUAGUCAAUUUAUGCACACUCCAAGACGACCACAUUAUGAUGUUGCCCUGCGUGUCUUACGUUACAUUAGAUCUUCUCCCGGCGCUGGUAUCCUCUUGUCCUCCGCUAGCUCUUUGGAACUCUCUGCCUUCUCAGAUUCAGAUUGGGCAAGUUGCCCCAUGACCCGUCGAUCCACCACUGAAUAUAUUAUCAUGCUCGGCAACAAUCCUAUUUCUUGGAAAACCAAGAAGCAACCAUUUGUAUCGCGCUCUUCCGCUGAAGCUGAAUAUCGAGCAAUGGCGACAACAACAUGUGAAUUGGUUUGGUUGAAAACUCUACUUCAUGAUCUUCAUGUGACCCAUCCAAUGCCUAUAACUUUACAUUGUGACAAUCAAGUUGUGCUUCAUAUCGCUGCGAAUCCCAUCUUCCAUGAGCGUACCAAGCACAUAGAAAUAGACUGCCAUCUUGUUCGUGAAAAGCUUCAUGCCAAAAUCAUUUCCUUAACUUAUGUGCCUUCACGACAACAAUUGGCUGACAGUUUUACCAAAGUUCUUGGUAAAGAUCAAUUUCAAUAUCUUCUUGGCAAGUUGGGAGUUACGGAUCUUCACUUUCCAACUUGAGGGGGAGUAUUAGAACAAGAAUCAAUCGGUCCUUGAUCUUAGCCACUAACUUAGCAUAUUGUAAUAUUCAUUCUCCUUUAUAUUCUUUCCUUUUCUAUUAUUUGACUGUUUGGUACUUGCCUUAGAUGAUUAUAGUAUUUUGGUAUAUAAGGAUCUUGUACACAGCAACAAAUAUAUAUGACCAUUUCCACAAUUCUUUACAGGAAGUAAGGAACAACUUCAUAGAUCCAUUAUUCUUAAAUUAUAAAAAUACAUAAACAACAUAUGUAUAUGAUUUUAGACAAAUCAAGAUAGUUUAAUUCAUACCUUUGUGAGUGAGAUCAAAGGAGGGAUAUUAUCAUAUUACCUCUUAAUGGCUAGAGACUCGUGUUGAUAAUGUGUUAUAUCAUUUAUCAAUUGGGAGUGCAACAAUAUAGCAAGAGAAAUAAAGAAGGCAAAUAAGAGACACAAUGUUUAGAGGGGAAUUUUAUUCAAUCUCAAAUAUAUACAAAUAGGAAGCAAAGGCCUGCUUUUAUAGUGAUACAAGCAUAAAGUAGUAAGUAAUACCUCGUAAUUAUAAGAGAUGACAAUCCUCAGAUUAGGGAGAUAAUGAGAGUUAUAAAAGAUGGAAAGUUACUUGUGAGGAGAUCGAAGAUUGCUUUGAUGAACAUCCACAUAUAUUAUAAUAAUUUCAUAACAUACAUUUACUUUUAAUUUAUUUUUAAGGUUAAUUGGUUAAUAAGCUUCUUGUGUAGUAGAUUGAUUAAUGUGCCCAAGAAUAUUGUUGGAUGCUAUUAUUUUAAAGGCAAAGAAAAAUAAGGCAUAAGUGUCACAUGUUCAAUAGCAGGGAUGUUUUGAGGAAUUUCUUAAAAUAAAAAGACUAAGUAGAUCUUUAGCCCAAAAUAUAGGGAUUAAGCAAGCAUUCAUCCUAUUGAAAAGCAAAGUAAACUAAUGUAACCAUAAUUGAAUAUAAAGUUAACUCUUCUAUGGCAUUAUAGAGAACAAAAGAAGGAAAAAUAUUAUUCAAAUUCAAGAUAAGAAGGUAGUUUAUUAACUGUCUAAAGUUCAAAAUUUUAUUAAUUUCAGACCUUUUUUAAAAUUUACUUAUUUGUUUUUUUGUAACUUAUGUUUGAUUUUUAGAUAUUUACAUCUGAAUAGAAAAAGUAAGAUUUUUUGACUUUUAUCUAAAUGGAAAAAGAUCUGAAUGAUUAGUAAAUAUUAUAUUCCAUAAAUAUCUCUAUAAAAUAACUUAUUUCCUAAUCUAUAAAAUAGAAUCCCCUUUUUUUAUUUUGAUUUACAAGGACGUAAAUGUCAAAGAACUAAGUUUAAGAUGUUUUUUAUUAUAAAAACAAAUAAGAUGCCACUUACAUUCAUAUAUUAAAAAAUGAAAAACAAACAUGUGAUUCAAAUUUUCGUAUUCAAACCCAUUCAAACUUGAAAAAAAUUUAGACACAUUCAAAUUUCAGACAAAAAAGACAAAUACUACUUCAAUUUUUUUUUCGCUUUGCAACUGCCCACUGCUAACCAAAUAAAAAAAGAUUUUCAAUUUGGAAUUAUGUUAUCCAACAUAUGAAGACAAUUCUUCCUUUGAACGAAUCUUUAUGAUUGUUUUCUGAACGAAUAUUGCUCUAAAUUAAAAUAUUUUAGAACAAAAAAUAGUUGAUUGCCAAAUGUACAAUAGGUACAAUUUUCUUUUUUCAGCUCUCUUUUGGAAGAGAACUAUGUCGUCCUUUAUAAUUAUUAUUUCUUGAAAGAAUACAAACUUAAAUUACUGGCUUUUUAUUUGUAAAAUCAUAUAAAAUAGACUCUUUUAAGGAAAAUAUCUCAUACCGGAGAUAAUAAUUUCUGGACUAAGAAUAUAAACUUAAAACAGCACUACUAUCAAAUUAUCUUUAAAAGAGUUCCUUGAUCAAAAGAAUUUAUUUAUCAUUUUUCACAGUUUAAAAAAAUAAAAAAAAUUACAUAGAAAUAAUUGGAAGAUUUCCUAAAUAAGCAUCAAAUAAAUGCUAAUUUAUUGCAUGAUACUUGGAAGAAACCAUAAAUAAAAAUUAAGGAUUUAUAAUUUUAAAGACAAGUUGGGAGUUUAAAUUUUCUUGCCAUCUUGAGGGAGAAUAAUAAGACCGAAAUAAUAUUGAUGAAACAAAAUAAUCAAUCAAAUAUUUGAUUGUCUUCAUCUUAAUCAGUGAUCAAGAAAAAUUGGUUGUUAAUUAACAUAAAAAUUGAUUGACUCAAUAUUUACUAAUAGAUCAUUAUUCCCAAAUUAUGUUAAUUAUAUAUAUUUCAAAUACUUAUAAGAAUUGAGUUUGCUUACGGUUUAUUAAAUAUAGUCUCUUAAAAGUUUACAUGUGGCCCAUACAAAGCUAACAUUACUCUGUUAUAGCAUUUCGGGCAUCCAACAAGAUCCUCUUCUUCACUUAUUGUUAGAACUAGAGCUAACAAAUUAAUUACUUAAUCACGGCUAAGUUUGGAAUUAAAAUCAAACUAAAUUAUCUAAUUGGUUGAGUUCGGUUUCCGUUUGUAUGGGCUACAUGAAAUUUUUUCUCUCAUCUUCUCUCGUCUGCUAAUCGCAUCUUUCUCUCUUUCGACUCUCUAAUUUCUCUCUUGGAUUUGGUUACCAAGCACAUAAAAUUGAAGCCACCAUCUCGCUCAUAACAAACAACUAGUCGGAUCCACCAAACUGUUGCUGUCAUCUUGAGCCAUUCAAGUAACUUGAACACAUCAUCUUCUCGUAAAUUCUCUUUCAUUUUCGAAUUAAAGACAAGGUAAGGAUGUAAUCUUGACUUUUGUGUUUUUUGUGAUGACUACAGAAAAUGCUAUAUGAAACAAUUAGGGAUUUAUGUGCUAUAUAAUAAUAAUAAUAAUAAUAAUAAUAACAACAACAACAACAACAACAACAAGUAGUCAUUUAUGAAUUUUGAGUGAAAAAUUAGGGAUUUAUGUGCUUCUUCUUCUUCUUCUUCUUCUUCUUCUUAUUAUUAUUAUUAUUAUUAUUAUUAUUAUUAUUAUUAUUAUUAUUAUUAUUAUUUUCCCUAUAUUAAACAAGUAGUCAUUUAUGAAUUUUGAGUGAAAAAUUCACUCGGCUGUGGCAGAUUUUGUGCCUUACAAGUAGUCGAUUUCACGCAUUCAUCAUCACCAUUACUAUGUUCAUUAUUAUUUGCUAUUGUUUUUUACUUUUUCUGCUGUUAUUGAUUAAAUUGACAUUAAAUUUAUGUCUUGUCCAUUACAAGACUUAACAAUAUAAUCCAGGUGUAACAUGGACACUACAGAUGAUACAAGUGCGCAAGACCUAGUCAGAGAGCGUAGUACACUUUUUGUAAGUAUAAACUAAUUGAUAUUUUUCGAGUUGUUAUGUUAGCAACCAUUUUAAAAACACUUUUGUUUUCGAAUUUUGGUUACGUUGAAGUGAAGGGGAUUGAGUUGCCAUUAAAAAUUAAAGUAUUUUGGUCUUUAUAAACAAAGCGCUUUUGUGGAAUAGAUCUAAGAAGAUGCUAAUCUUCUUAAUAAUUUUUUUUUUUUUUAAAUUCUAUUACUCUUGGUGCAACAAAUUUCCUAGUGCCAAAACCUUGUCAUAAAAAAAAAAGAAAAAAAAAAAGAAAACAGAAAAAGAGUGAAAAUCUCUUCGGUCAACCAAAUUACUCAAAUUCGUAAAAUAAUAUAAUACUUGAACCUUAAAAAUAAAAGCUCUAUAUAUUACUAUAUAAACAGUGAUAAACACAAUUACUAUCUAAGCCCACUCGAAAUUUUAUCAUACAGUCGUAUAUUUAUCACCUUAUGUACGUAUAUUGUAAUUUGGAUACGUUAUUUAAUUGUAUUUAUAUUGUGUAUAUUUACCACAUUAUGUACGUAUAUAAAAUAUAACGUAUAUUGUGUAAACUUUACUUUUGAGCUAAGUAUUUUCCUGAAAAAGGAAAUAAAUCAAUAAAAAUUAUUGUGUGUCAACAUAUUGGUUAUAUUAGUCUAUACACGUCGGUUUUAAUUACGAUAUCUCUUCCUAAAUAUUUUACUUUUUUUGAAAGUAACUCAAAAAUUUGUUGUAUAAAAAACACUAUCACUUUCAAUCAUAUGAUGGUUACAUUUUAAUCAUUUAUUCAUAACGUCCUCCUGGACCUCCAUUGGGGAUAUUAUAGUGUGUCAUUCUGUAACCCAGAACUAUCAUUUCUUCCACCUCUACGAUAUCUUGUAAUGUUACUUGCAGCUUCAUAAGCCACAGAAACAUCAUCAAAAUCAACAAAUUGUUUUCUUUUCUUUUUUUUUAGGAAAGUAAUAAGAAAAAUAAAAGCUGCAUUAUUCUAUUUAUGAUCAAUAGAAGAAUUCAAGUGACUGGAGAAAAUUCAGAUUGUUGAAAAUGGGUUCUCAAACGAGAUAAGCCUCAGGUAGUAGACCUCACCAACAUCAGUACCAGACUCAAUCCAUAGAAUCGGUCUCGUCUUAAGCCUAACAGCUCCCUUCUAAUAUAAUCUAGUGAGAACGGUGAGGUGCUUGGUAUAUCAUACACCAAAAAUCAACGAUGCUUGGACUUUCAAGAAAAAGAGAAAAACAAAUGCAUGCACGGGGAAACGUACUAAUCAAAAGCAAAUCAUAUAAUUUACAAAUUAUUAUAGGCUUGUAGCCAUAAGAUCGAGAGAAACUAAAACAUUUCUUGCAUUUUCUGGCCAUAUUUUCUAAAUGAAGGGAUGGUCCAUUGCUGCUCCGCCAUACUGGAUCUCAAGAUGUCAUUAACAAUAGGUCUCAAGAUGUCCCUAACAAGGUGUCACUCUGAUACCGACAGGUCUACCACUUAGACAUAACACUUGCCAUGUAAAAUGUUCUCCUAUUUUUGCUAUUUCCUUCGUAUCUUGCAUUGAAUUAUUGCCAGCAAAUGAUAUUUCGAGUCAAAAAAGUAUAUUCAAUUAUUGCAUAUAUGCUCCUAGGUAAUUUGCACAAUUGAAUUAUAGCUGUUAAUCUACUUAUUUACACAAUUGAUUAAUUGUACGCAUCCAUUGCAAGACUUUCGCACUAAGUUUCAAUUUCAACCACAAAUCCUAGCUCUAGAUAAAAAUGAUGUGGUCGUAGAGAUUUCGAAUGUAUUCACUUUGUGAUUAACGGAAGCAUUGCUUUCAUUUGUAAGACGUUGUCAUCACAGAUUAAUUAAUUAAUCAUCAUUUUGGUAAAGGAAAAAGAAUGAAAAAAGCUGCACUAUUUUAAAGGCCAUUUGGUAUAUGACCACUUCGCAUUGGACUUGGAGACCGGGUAAUUUUGUCAUCUCUACUCCAAGAAUCUGCUCUCAUGCUACUUGCAUGGUUCCAUCUUUGAAGUCUGGUACUGUUUUGUUUGGAAAAUACCCCACUAUAAUAUCUUCACGAAGAAAAUUGAUCCCCGUUAACUAGCGUGAUUAGCUUAGUUUCUUAAAUUCAACGUUCGUUUGGUUAAUUGUCUGUUAGUUUUAGAAUUUUGAUUAGCCAAUAAAACAAUGAGUUUUAUUGUUUAAUAAGGCAAGUUGAAAUAAAUUCAAUCCUACUCACAGAAAAAUUUAAAUGACACAUAUCAUAAUCUUUUUCAUAUCUUCAGAAAAAUUAAAUCAUAAGAGGAUCAUGAACAAUUUGAUGAUGCUCUGAAAUAUAGUCUUCUGUUUUUCAAGGAAAAAAUAAGGAAGUUAAAAACAUGUUUAUCAGGUUUUUCAGAGAUCAUUUUGACGUUUUUGUUUAAAAACAUGAAAAUUGUUCUUAUUCUCGUAAACCAGAAAAAAUUAUCUGGCCGGUUAGCUAAUUAUUCUUGUUCUUCUGUUCUUUUUUAUUUGAAUUGUUUCUCCCUUUUCCAUUCAUUUUUCACUAUGAAAUUAAUUACUAAUUAAUCUACAGUUAGUUUCUCUACAGCUAAUAGGAACGUCAUUUAUGCCCGAAGACUCGCAUCUUUUUUAUUCAUUAUCUACAGUGCCUCACCUCCAAUCUAUGUAUAGGCGGACAUGCAUAUUUAUUAUAUCAAAUAAGUUAUUGAUGGAAAAUAUCACUUUCGAAAUAGAGAAUUAUCCUUAAUUAAAUCUUAGUGGGCCUAAAUUCGAGUAAGAUUUAAUGAUGUAUGAUUCAAAAUUAUUGAAAUCGGACAUUUUAAACAAGAAAAAAAAUAAAAAAUCUUGUUCUCUUUUUUAAAUAAUAAAUUUCAUUGUGAUGGAUUUUUAAUAUUAAAUUAGACAUUUGCUAAAUUGGCUCAAAUAUAAUAGAUCUUAGACCUUGCUUUUAAUGGAUUUAAUUAGGUUUUGGGCAUUUAAAUUAUACAACUGGAGACGGAAUUUAUAAAUAGAUAACAUUCUAAUGUGAUUUUAAAAUAAAUUUGAACUUGAACUUGAUGCAUUUUAUUAAUCCAGAAAGGUAAAUUUAUAAUUUCAACUUUUAAAUAAAACAUAUCCUUUGGAUUUUUUACAUAAACUAGAGGCAAUUGUACAAUAUUUACUUGACUAGUGGUAUAUAUCUCAAAUUUUUUAUCCUAAGAAAUGCCACAUCAUUUGGUUGAUGAGGAUAAUAUAAUUAAUUCACUUAGAUAUUAUAAAAAAUUAUCAACCAAUCAACGAAUAACAUAUCAUUUUCAUUGGGAUGGAAUUUGGAAAAAAAAAUUUAGGACGUCUAUUAUUACUUUAGUAAGAAAGCAUAUUAAGAUGGACUAACAUGUUUGGAUGCCCCAGCCUAAGAUGCAAGAGAUCAAUUUCUUUUGUUGUCUUGAAAUCCCUACUAUUUGACUCAACAACAUUGGCAACAUUUAACCAAUUACUACUAGAACAAAAAGAUAUCAUAGACAAAGGAUUGCUAAUGCAAUUUAUUGACUCAUACUCUAAAGAUAGAGGUAACUCAACAGCACAUUCAUUCUUGCUACUCAUGCACAAUAGCUCAUAUAGCCUAUCUUUAGUCACUCCUUUCAUUUGGAUUUUCACUUGGCUAAAGCAAAUAGAUUUUUGAAGCACAACAUCAAUAUCAUUAUCACGGAACAAUUUUGAGACAUUAAUAAGGUUCUUAAUAACGCUAGGCACAGACAACGAGCUAUUUAGUUUAAUCUGUUUGUGCGGAUCAUAAGUGAGCAAUAUAGAGUAUCCAAUAUGAGAAAUCAAAAGUUUAUCACCAUUUCCAAUAGUAGCUCAUCAUUACCUUGAUAUUCUAAAUUAAAGCUCAUGCUUCCAAUAGCACUGGUUACAUGAUUUGUAGCACCACUGUCAAGGUACCAAGCUCUACUAUUCUCACCGUCAACUGCAACCACAUAUGCUCUUAUUGGAUCUCUUCUUCUAUUUGGCUGUGGAACUGAUAUGAACCCUAUUAAGAACUAACAUGACCCUAACCAAUUUAGUCUCUAAGAUUGAAACCAUUUUUUUUUUUUUUAGAAGAGAUUGAAACCAAAUCUAAAAUUGAAUGGAACCGCGAUUUGAUCUCAAUGAAAGUACGAACCUUGGUAUGUGAUGACGCCACAAUCAGCUAUGGAUGAUCUGAUUGAUAAGUCAAGAGUUUGAACGCCACAGAAAUCCGAUAAGUUCAAAGGGUUAGUUUAAGAACCAAAGAGAAUUAGCUUUCUCACUAAUUGCAUCAAAAUUGAUGUCUUUCUUAUUGGAUACAAGUACAUUAGAUAGGGUUGGUUUAUAAGAAUUUUAAGAAAUAAAUCCUAAACCAAAAUCAAAUCAGAAUCCUAAUUUAAAGCAAAUAAGGAAAGAAACUAAUUCAAACCAUAAUCCUUAUUGGCUUAAAUGCCUUGCAUCAAUUAAAAAUGGAAACAAGGCAAUUAAAAGAGAAAUAAUUGAUUCGUUUUGCCACUUGCCUACUCAAGAAAUGGGAAAGUAUCCUAAAAGGAAAGUUUUUUCCAAACGAGAAACAUCUGAUAAGGUAAAUAAUAUAUUUUCUAGCCAUAAUGUGCAAACCAACUUGCUGAUUUCAUAGAAAUGAUUAUGUGAAAACUUAAAAAGCCUGAAUCACGUAUUUAGUGGUCUAAAUAUCAUGUGCGAUUUCUUCAACGGGGCUCCACGAAUUUGAUUGAGCUCAAGUUGCUUAAAUAAACCCAUUAAGCGAUUUUUUGAAUUUUUUUGCACGAGCUCUUAUGAUGGGUCCAACAAGAACUUGAAUGGGAUAUGAAUAUACCUCAUCUCAUGUGCUUGUGACAGUUUUGUCCUCAAUAUCAUAUUUUUUCCUUCAAAGAAACAAUUUUGCUUCAUAUGGAAAAGGAAAUUCAUAUGGAAAAGGAAAUUUUCCUUCAAAGAAAUAAUUUCAUAACAUACAUUUACUUUUAAUUUAUUUUUAAGGUUAAUUGGUUAAUAAGCUUUUUGUGUAGUAGAUUGAUUAAUGUGCCCAAGAAUAUUGUUGGAUGCUAUUAUUUUAAAAGCAAAGCAAAAUAAGACAUAAGUGUCACAUGUUCAAUAGUAGGGAUGUUUUGAGGAAUUUCUUAAAAUAAAAAGACUAAGUAAUCUUUAGCCCAAAAUAUAGGGAUUAAGCAAGCAUUCAUUCUAUAGAAAAGCAGAGUAAACUAAUGUAACCAUAAUUGAAUAUAAAGUUAACUCUUCUAUGGAAUUAUAGAGAACAAAAGAAGGAAAAAUAUUAUUCAAAUUCAAGAUAAGAAGGUAGUUUAUUAACUGUCUAAAGUUCAAAAUUUUAUUAAUUUCAGACCUUUUUUAAAAUUUGCUUAUUUGUUUUUUUGUAACUUAUGUUUGAUUUUUAGAUAUUUAUAUCUGAAUAGAAAAAGUAAGAUUUUUUUACUUUUAUAUAAAUGGAAAAAGGUCUGAAUGAUUAGUAAAUAUUAUAUUCCAUAAAUAUCUCUAUAAAAUAACUUAUUUCCUAAUCUAUAAAAUAGAAUCCCCUUUUUUUAUUUUGAUUUACAAGGACGUAAAUGUCAAAGAACUAAGUUUAAGAUGUUUUUUAUUAUAAAAACAAAUAAGAUGCCACUUACAUUUAGAUAUUAAAAAAUGAAAAACAAAUAUGUGAUUCAAAUUUUCGUAUUCAGACUAGAGAUGGCCAAUGGGCCGGGCGGCACGUGGCACGGCACGGGCACGGAAUGGGCACGGCACGUGUCCGUACGGCACGACACGGCACGAGCACGUUUCGGUGAGGCACGAGGCACGGCACGGCAUGCACGUGGGCUGUGCCGGGCCUAGAAUUUUAGGCACGCGGGCCUUAAAGCACGGCACGAUUAGAGAUGGGCCAAAGCACGGCACACGAAAAAGCACGUAAUAAGCACGGUUCAUUGGUGGGCUAGCACGCGGCCCGUGAGCCAUCAAUAGCACGUGGGCCAAAAUAUAUCUAAGUAAAUUUUUUUAACAAAAAGUAAAUAUAAAAUGUUAUGAAAUUAAAGUAAAAUAUCUUGAAAUUAAAUGUUUUAAUAUAUUUUUUAGCAUAGACUUCUAAAAAUUAAUUUAAAUCAUUAAAUCUUAGUUUAAAUAAAUAUUCUAAUUUUUUAUGUUUAUAAUUUAUCAAAUGAAUAAUUAAAUAUCAUGAUUUUAAUAAAUAAAUUAUAAAUAUCAUAAUUUUAUUUAUGAUAUUUAUUAAAUGAAUAAUGUUAUUUAUGAUAUUUAAUUUUAUUUAUGAUAUUUAUUUAAUUAUUUAUUUAUGUUUAUAAUUUAUUAAAUGAAUAAGUAAAUAACUAAAUAUCAUGAUUUUAAUAAAUAAAAUUAUAAAUAUCAUAAAUUUAUAAUUUAUAAAUAAAAAAUAAAUCUUUUUACAAAAUUAAUAAUAAAAUAUUUUUCAUAUGAAAUAUUUUUCAUAUUAAUAUUAAAUCAUAACUUAGUUAAUAUUUAAUAGAGAUACGUUUCAUUUGUGAAUGAAAUAUUUUUCAUAUUUAUACACAAGAAAAAAUUAUGAUAAAUUAAAAAUUACAUUUUCAUUAAAUGAAGUUAAAGUACAAUUAUAACUUGUAAGUUGUGACCUAUGAUUUGUUAUAUUAAUAUUUCGUAGUUAUGACUUAUUGUAGUGAUUAUUCGAGGAUUGUAUUUUUAAUUUUAAUUAAUUAUUAUUAUGAGCUAUGGAAUUAAAUUUAUGUAUUGUUGUGUUAUGAAUUAUGAUUGAUUAUUGUGAAAUAAAAUAUAUAGUUGUGAAAUUGUGAUAAACUAAUAAUAAAAUGUUAAUUGCUCUCUUAAUAAAAAUUAAUAUGAUUAUGAUUAUGAAUAUUAUUAUUAUUAUUAUUAUUAUUAUUAUUAUUAUUAUUAUUAUUAUUAUUAUUAUUAUUAUUAUUAUUAUGUUGGUGGGUUUAAAAAAGCACGUCAGGUAUGUGGGUUUGAAUAAAGCACGCCAGACACGUGGACUUUUUUAAGCACGCCAAAAAAACAAAGUUGAUGGGCUUUUUUUUGGGAACGGCCCACGGCACGGCACGAGCGGGCUCGUGCCGUGGGCCGUGCUGGGCUCAACUGAAAAAAAGGUAUGCACGGCACGGCACAGCCCACCACGAGCCCUUGUGGGCUGACAGUUUGCCGGCACGGCCCAUUGGCCAUAGUUAAUUCAGACCCAUUCAAACUUGAAAAAAAUUUAGACACAUUCAAAUUUCAGAUAAAAAAGACAAAUGCUACUUAAAUUUUUUUCGCUUUGCAACUGCCCACUGCUACACCAAAUAAAAAAAGAUUUUCAAUUUGGAAUUAUGUUAUCCAACAUAUGAAGACAAUUCUUCCUUUAAACGAAUCUUUAUGAUUGUUUUCUGAACGAAUAUUGCUCUAAAUUAAAAUAUUUUAGAACAAAAAAUAGCUGAUUGCCAAAUGUACAAUAGGUACAAUUUUCUUUUUUCAGCUCUCUUUUGGAAGAGAACUAUGGCGUCCUUUAUAAUUAUUAUUUCUUGAAAGAAUACAAACUUAAAUUACUGGCUUUUUAUUUGUAAAAUCAUAUAAAAUAGAUUCUUUUAAGGAAAAUAUCUCAUACCGGAGAUAAUAAUUUCUGGACUAAGAAUAUAAACUUAAAACAGCACUACUAUCAAACUAUCUUUAAAAGAGUUCCUUGAUCAAAAGAAUUUAUUUAUCAUUUUUCACAGUUAAAAAAAAUAAAAAAAAUUACAUAGAAAUAAUUUGAAGAUUUCCUAAAUAAGCAUCAAAUAAAUGCUAAUUUACUGCAUGAUACUUAGAAGAAACCAUAAAUAAAAAUUAAGAAUUUACAAUUUUAAAGACGAGCUGGGAGUUUUAAUUUUCUUGCCAUCUUGAGAGAGAAUAAUAAGACCAAAAUAAUAUUGAUGAAACAAAAUAAUCAAUCAAAUAUUUGAUUGUCUUCAUCUUAAUCAGUGAUUAAGAAAAAUUGGUUGUUAAUUAACAUAAAAAUUGAUUGACUCAAUAUUUAUUAAUAGAUCAUUAUUUCCAAAUUAUGUUAAUUAUAUAUAUUUCAAAUACUUAUAAGAAUUGAGUUUGCUUACGGUUUAUUAAAUAUAGUCUCUUAAAAGUUUUCAUGUGGCCCAUACAAAGCUAACAUUACUCUGUUAUAGCAUUUCGGGCAUCCAACAAGAUCCUCUUCUUCACUUAUUGUUAGAACUAGCGCUAACAAAUUAAUUACUUAAUCACGGCUAAGUUUGGAAUUAAAAUCAAACUAAAUUAUCUAAUUGGUUGAGUUCGGUUUCCGUUUGUAUGGGCUACACGAAAUUUUUUCUCUCAUCUUCUCUCGUCUGCUAAUCGCAUCUUUCUCUCUUUCGACUCUCUAAUUUCUCUCUUGGAUUUGGUUACCAAGCACAUAAAAUUGAAGCCACCAUCUCGUUCAUAACAAACAACUAGUCGGAUCCAUCAAACUGUUGCUGUCAUCUUGAGCCAUUCAAGUAACUUGAACACAUCAUCUUCUCGUAAAUUCUCUUUCAUUUUCAAAUUAAAGACAAGGUAAGGAUGUAAUCUUGACUUUUGUGUUUUUUGUGAUGACUACAGAAAAUGCUAUAUGGAACAAUUAGGGAUUUAUGUGCUUCUUCUUCUUCUUCUUCUUCUUCUUCUUCUUAUUAUUAUUAUUAUUAUUAUUAUUUUCCCUAUAUUAAACAAGUAGUUAUUUAUGAAUUUUGAGUGAAAAAUUCACUCGGCUGUGGCAGAUUUUGUGCCUUACAAGUAGUCGAUUUCACGCAUUCAUCAUCACCAUUACUAUGUUCAUUAUUAUUUGCUAUUGUUUUUUACUUUUUCUGCUGUUAUUGAUUAAAUUGACAUUAAAUUUAUGUCUUGUCCAUUACAAGACUUAACAAUAUAAUCCAGUUGUAACAUGGACACUACAGAUGAUACAAGUGCGCAAGACCUAGUCAGAGAGCGUAGUACACUUUUUGUAAGUAUAAACUAAUUGAUAUUUUUCGAGUUGUUAUGUUAGCAACCAUUUUAAAAACACUUUUGUUUUCGAAUUUUGGUUACGUUGAAGUGAAGGGGAUUGAGUUGCCAUUAAAAAUUAAAGUAUUUUGGUCUUUAUAAACAAAGCGCUUUUGUGGAAUAGAUCUAAGAAGAUGCUAAGAAUUGAGUUUGCUUACGGUUUGUAAUCUUGACUUUUGUGUUUUUUGUGAUGACUACAGAAAAUGCUAUAUGAAACAAUUAGGGAUUUAUGUGCUAUAUAAUAAUAAUAAUAAUAAUAAUAAUAAUAAUAAUUAUUAUUAUUAUUAUUAUUAUUAUUAUUAUUAUUAUUAUUAUUUUCCCUAUAUUAAACAAGUAGGCAUUUAUGAAUUUUGAGUGAAAAAUUCACUCGGCUGUGGCGGAUUUUGUGCCUUACAAGUAGUCGAUUUCACGCAUUCAUCAUCACCAUUACUAUGUUCACUAAAAUAUAACGUAUAUUGUGUAAACUCUACUAUAAACAAUUAAUAUUUGGUCAUAUUUCUUUUGGCAAAUAACCCCCUGGGAUUUCUUCUUUAUCGCAACAUGAAAUUGAAGAUAUUUAAAAGGUUUUGAAACGUUAUUUUUAUUGAAAGGAGUUGCCAUUUUUAAUUUUGGUUGCAAAUAAUAAUUCCUUGGUGGUUACAAUAUUUUUAAAUAUCCCCAUUAAGGCUGUAGGGGCUACAAAUCUUCAUUCUAGAUCUGUAACAUAUGACUAUGAAUUAUAUAUAAAUGAGCUAUUUUUCUUUAUCUUUGGAUAUAUUAUAUACUCUAUUGUUUUCUCCGAAACUCUACGAUAAACAAUUAAUACUUUUCUUUGCAACUUCGACAUUCAAAGACUUGGUUUAUUCUUCAGGUAAAUCGUGCUUAGGAAGAAGAGCGGCAUGAAGAUAUUUGGGUUGUAUUUUGGAGCUGCGAAAUACCGACAAUAUCCGCCCGUGGGGAGGGCUCUUUGACAUUUGGGUUGUAUUUUGGACAUUUGUUCUUCUCCAUAGUACUGGCCGGAUUCUUCAACAAUACCCUAAUACUUCUAAAGUCAAAGACAUGCUUCUCUUUCGUUGAAUAUAUUUGCAUCUCUAGGUGAAAGUUGUAAUUGGCUGAGGAAAUUUUUAUUUUUAUAGAAUGGAAGAACAGGGACUUUACGUGGAGAAAAAAUUGUAGUGGGUAUUUUCCAUAGAUAUGGCUAUACAUGUAGCAUGACGAGCUGAUGACGGGAGUUCAUUUGACGGAAUUAGCCCUUCAAUGGGUUGUCGUUAUAAACCAGAUGGCCAAUAUAAUCAUGCAGCCUAUUUCAGCAAUGUUGUUUAUUAUGAUAUUAAUUUUGUGACUCAAGAAGCUGCAAGUAACAAUAAUACAGGACACCGUACAUAUGCAAGUAAUUGUUUUGGUUGCAAAAUGCAACACUUUCUGGACCAUCUUCUGGUUAUAAUUUUGUUUUUAGUAAAAUGUAAUUUUUUUUUAUUAUAGACAUUGUAUAAUUGUUUUAAAAUUUGGUAUAGCAAUAAAUAUGAUCUAUGUUUUGGACUGGUAGGUGGUUUCUUAAAAUUCUAUCCCAAAAGUUUAUCUUAAAGUUCUAUCUUAAAUUAUGUGGUCUUUAGACUGAUUGGUGUAAUUAAUUUAAUUAAUAAAAAAGAUCAGAUCUUCUCCUAGAUAUUUUUUUCCUCCUCCUAAACUUUUAAUAAUCCAUUGAUAUGUGUCAUUAAUGAAAUUAAUAGAUAAAAAAUUAUUUUAUCUUUACCGCUUUAACCCUACCCAAUUUGUGGACCCAUUUUAUCUUCCACGUGAUUGGUAUUAUUACUUUAUUUGUCUUUUUAUGUACUAUUAUUUAUUCUGUGGACCCAUUCAUGCACCCACGUUUCGGACAUGCAAUUUAACCGUAGCCGUUAAUCUUACCUAAUCAUAUGUGCGAUAAAAAUCUGCCGUCGAUCCGUUAUAUGUAAGUACCAACCAUGCGUUAUUAUUCGAUUUGCUACGUUACAAAAUCUUAUUGAUAAGGUUUUUUCAGAGAUUUUUCUUUUAAGACUACCAUUACCUACGUUACAAAAUUAAAUUAUAAGAGGAUCUUGAUAAGGUUUUUUCAGAAACCACUUUGUAAAGUCAAAAUAAAGUCUUCGCCGUCUGCCUCCAAUGACUAACGCCCCAGGCCCUUGAUGAAAUAGAAAUCCGAGCAGUGAAGUCACACUUCUCAUUGAAAACGACUAAUAAAAAUUAAGUUGGAAACUCGAACAGUAACUAGAUAACCUUACUCUUUUAUAUUUUAAGAAUUUGUUCAGAAAAUAUUACGAUCUCUUCUAACUUAAGUUGAAAUGCCGUUUCUAUUUCUUAUUCUUAUAAAAUGUGUACUUAUCAAUAAAGUUUCUUAUAUAAAAUUUUCAACUAAGAAUGAAUCUUCUUCAUCCAAGAUGCUAAUACAGUCCUAAAGGUGGUGGUGAUGAAAGAAUGGACAUUAAACCAUUAAACUUCAUUCUCGUAGUCUCAAGCGUGGUUGCUGGUCCUCCAUAAGACCAAUAAUCUCUCCCUCCGUGACUCGUAACCAGACUGUGAUAUCACUUGUUGGACCCAGACACUUAUUGUGACUUUUUAGCAAGUCGCCAAUCACUAAAUUGGUCCAGAUUUAACAUGCUUAUUUAUGGAUCUUUCAAAUUAAAGUUUUCAUAUUCCUUUGAAAACUAAUUGGAAAUAAAAUAUAAAAAAAAAGAAUAAUAAACUAUUUAACUUCAUCCAUUUAUAAUCCUAAGGAUAUUCAUUGGGCACCCAUAAGAUCAACAGUCUUAUACUAUAAUUUAAAUUUAAUUAUGUUUUAUUGACAAAAAUUAGCUAUUAUCAUUAUGAAAUGCCCAUUUCACUGGACUAUCUUUGAUUAUAAAAUUGUUUUAGCAAUUCCAAGUGAAAUGAUAUUUUGAACGAGGAAAAGACUCAAUUAGACAUUUAGACCGGGCUGCAGUUCUGGCCUCAUUUUGUCCUGAAGCUCAGCCAUGAUCCUGCCAAAGUUUUGGAGCCAUUCUAGCCACAUUUUAUCUUACUAUUAUGCACCACAUUUACUUUUUCGAUCUUCGAGACUUCGACUGGGUCAAACAUAUCCUCAAGCUCCGCUUUAACCUUACGAAAUUUGUGCCACUUGGCCUUGUAGCUCAGUGGUGGAUCAUUACCCUCAAAGUUAAGCAUGAUUAUGAGGGCAAUGGUUCGAGUUUUUACGGACUUAAUCUCCCUCAAUUAAACAUAAUUGUGUGGAGAUUUUUUAUAACGUCUUUCUCUCUUGUGAAAUGCGAGUGGAGUAGAGAUAUCCCUCCUCCGUGAGGGGUAUUUGGAUGAGCAUGUACUUCAUAGAAUAAAAAUGUAAUUAUAUAAGUCCUAUGUAUAUAUAUCUGAUUGUAAAUAUCAAUGUAAUGACUUGUUGUCAUAGCAAUUGUAUAUAUCUCUGUGUAAUAUAGUAAUAUGAUACUUAAUCAAUUUAAAAAAAAAAAAAAACUUACGAAAUUUGUUGACCCAUUUUACCUUCACGUGAUUGGUAUUACUACUUUUGUCGACAAGGCUACGUUGCAGUUGCAGACUCAGCUGAGUACCAACAGCUUUUCCUCUCUCCUGCAACGCGUGGAUGCUCCUUGUUUGUCUUCUUAUCUGCAAUUAUUUUCUCUGUGGACCCAUUCAUGCACCCACGUCUCGAAUAUGCAAUCUAACCCACGUCUCGAAUAUGCAAUUAUUUUUUUUGUGGACCCAUUUUACCUUCACGUGAUUGGUAUUACUACUUUUGUGGACAAGGCUACGUUGCAGUUGCAGACUCUGUAUGCAACAGCUCAGUCCAAACUGGCCUUGUAUCAGCUGAGUUCCAACAGCUUUUCCUCUCUCCUGCAGCGCGUGGAUGCUCCUUGUUUGUCUUCUUAUCUGCAAUUAUUUUCUCUGUGGACCCAUUCAUGCACCCACGUCUCGAAUAUGCAAUUUAACCGUAGCCGUUAAUCAUAUCUAACUAUAUGUACGAUAAAAAUUCCGCCGUCGAUCCGCUAUAUGUAAGUACCAAUCAGGCAUUAGUUUUCUAAUAAGACUUUAUUUCUUUUAUUAGCUCAUAUUCAUCCAUGUGUUUAUCAUUCCUAGCUAAUUCGAUUAUUUAAAAUAACAAUGAUCCAUCAAUAAUUUUAUUCUUCGACCGGCUAAAAUGAUUUUUUUUAUUAUUAUUUUGAUGAGGAGGUCUCAAUAAAGUUCAAAUAAAUAAAUUUUGGUCUUUGUCUCACACUUACAUAAACAAACGAAAAAAUUAUAAAAUUAUAAAAAAAUUAAGAACCAUUGUCAAUUAUGUAAAUUCAAAUAUUUAAACAAUCAAAAUAAUUGCGGUUAGUUUUCCCCUGUAAUCAAUUAUUGGCAUCGGAUGGGAACCACGUAAUUCGUGUAAUUGAUAUAAAGCAAUCUUUGAUGAAUCGUGACCCACUUAACAAGGAUCAAUACAUUCAGAAAUGAAUUCCACUCACCAAUUGAGAUACUAGUAUUAAUAUUAUCGGGAUUUAUACUGCUCUAAAGACAAUGUUACAGAGAAGCUGCUAUAACUCUCAUGACUCUGAAUCUAAGUGUUCAAUACGAGUGUAAAGACCUAAUUGCUCUGAUACAAGAAAUCAGUCCAGUCUUGUAUUACUAAACUUAUUAGCAGAUUUUUGGCUCCCAGCUAGCACAUGGGUAGCACCUGUAACGCUGCAUCAAUUAACAAAACUGAUUUACCAGAAUUUCCAGCCCCUAUACUUUGCAUCAAUAAAUUAUGAAAUUGGACAAGAUUUGUGUGUGAUUUUAAAAUAAAUAUGAACUUGAAUUUGAUGCAUUUAAUUAAUCCAAAGAGGCAAAUUUAUAAUUUCAACUUCUAAAUAAAACAUAUCAUUUGAAUUUUAUCAGUGGUUUCUAAUAAUAACUGACAGGUCAUUAUAAUAAUUAUAAAUGUAAUAUUUAUUUUUAUAAUUAUACAGUUAUGAUCAAUGCUAUGCUGUAGUGCCGUUCCAAAGGCAACUGCUCCCACUAUUCUCUUAGCGGCUCUGCCACUAAUCGCAUUCUGGCCACAUUUUAUCUUGCUAUUAUGCACCAUAUUUAUUUUUGCAAUCUGCGAGACUGCGACUAGGAUAUGCAAUUGCUCAAGCUCCGGUUUAGUCUUAAUUUGUGGACCCAUUCUACCUCACACGUGAUUGGCAUUACUACUUUGUUUGUCUUCUUAUGUACUAUUAUUUAUUAUGUGGACCCAUUCGUGCACCCACGUUUCGAAUACACAAUUUAACCGCAGCCGCUAAUCUUACUUAAUUUAUGUACGAUAAAAGCUCCGCCGUCGAUCCGUUAUACUUAAGUACCAACCAUGAUUAUUAUUUGAUUAGCUACGUCACAAAGUCGUAUUGAUUACGAAACACCAACACCUAGGGCCUAGGCAAUAUAGACAGGUCCUAAAUUAUGAACAGACAUUUACGCUGUGGACCCAUUCAUGCAUCCCCGUUUCGAUUUUGCAAUUUAACGUAGCCGUUAAUCUUACCUAACCAUCUGUACGAGAAAAACUCCGCCGUCGAUCCGUAUAUGUAAGCACCAAGCAUGCAUUAUUAUUUUACCGAUUAUAAAGCACCGACACCCAGGGCCUAGAAUUAUAAUACUAUUUUUUUUUUGGAUUAGGACGAAAUUAUUAUUGAAUAAUAAUUAAAACAAGAAAAUCUGAAUCUUUCUAUGAUUGUAUCAACUUAUUAUGCAUGCCUAUGUUAUUGCCCGGUUGCCUAUGGUAUUGACAUCUACUACGAAGUUAGAAAUUGGUCUUAAUUAAUUAGAUGCAUUUCUCAUUUGAAUUAUUUGGAGACGUGUAUAAUACAGGUCAAGUUUUCUAAUAAGAGGUUAGUGACUUUAUUUCUUUUAUUGGCUCAUAUUGAUUUAUUUGGUUAUCAUUCCUAGCUAAUUCGGUUAUUUAUCAAUAAUUUUAUUGGACAAAUUCUUUUAUUGGUUAAAAUAAGUUUUUCUUAUUAUUGUUUUUGACGAGAAGGUCUCAAUAAAGUUGGAGUAAACAAAUUUUCAUCUAUGUCUCGCACUUACAUAAAAUAAAGGAAAAAAUUAUAAUUAUAAAUAAAUUAAGAACCAAUGUCAAUAAUGUAAAAUCAAAUAUUUAAACAAUCAAAAUUUUAUCACUUUUGAAUUUAAGACUUUUUUCUUUCAUAUGUUAGAAAAUAAAAUUUUGAUGGAAAUUUUUUUUUAAAUGAAAUUGGGAAUUAGAAAUUUUCAUUUCCAAGACUAUCUUUCAUUGGCUAUGUCCAAGACGAAACAGAUUAAAAGCAAAUUUUGUAAUUUACAAAAUUACUGUAGCAAUGAGAUGCGAAAGAAAAGACUGCACGUGAUAAUUGCGGUUAGUUUUCCCCUGUAAUCAAUUAUUGCCACCGGAUGGGAGCCACGUAAUUCGUCUAAUUGAACUGUACCCGGUUAUUCGCAAUCCACACCGGGCAAACUUGAAUCAUCUAUAUAUAUUACAUCAAAUUGUCAAACUGGAAGCAAGAACUCGAAAAAACAACUUAACUACUUUCGAACUUUGAUUCCCGUAAGCAGAGAUCUUUCUGAUUUGAAGAACAUGGAAACCACCUGCGCAGGUUUAUAGGCCAACUUUAUUUUAAUAUAUAUCGUUUAUACUUCUUAUUUUAGUAUAUGCGGUUAUAAAUUAAAUUUUUUAUAUGAAAUUUUCAGGUAAUAACUGGUCAGAGGGUCUUCUGCUUCCUCCGUUUGGCAGUAUUGCUGAUGAUGAUGUCAUGAACGACAAUCUUGAUUUUCUUAAUGUCCCCCAAUAUGGAAGAAACCCCGACUACAUGGGUUAAGUGCAGCACUGCUUUUUUUUUUUUUCUGUUUUGUUUAAUUAAAUAAAUGAUAGGUAUACUAUUACCUAUCAAUCAUGACAAUGUUUUAGUAUGGUUUAGUUCAACUUAUAAGAUUUCUUGAGACGUACAAGCAAUCUUUUUGUUUACUUUUGAGCUAAGUAUUUUCCUGAAAAAGGAAAUAAAUCAAUAAAAGUUAUUGUGUGUGUCAACAUAUUGGUUCUAUUAGUUUAUACACGUCGGUUUUAAUUACGAUCUCUCUUCCUAAAUGUUGUACUUUUUUUUGAAAUAAACUCAAAACUUUGUUGUAUAAAAAACUCUUAUCACUUUCAAUCAUAUGAUGGUUACAAUUUAAUCAUUUAUUCAUAACAUCCUCCUGGUCCUCCAUUGAGGAUAUUAAAGUGUGCCAUUCUGUAACCCAGAACUAUCAUUUCUUCCACCUCUACGAUAUCUUGUAAUGUUACUUGCAGCUUCAUAAGCCACAGAAACAUCAUCAAAAUCAACAAAUUGUUUUUUUUUUUUUUAGGAAAGUAAUAAGAAAAAUAAAAGCUGCAUUAUUUUAUUGGCCACAUUGGACUCCUAGGCCGGGUAAUCUUGUCAUCUCUACUCGUAGAGUCUUCUCCCAUGGUACUUGCAUGGUUCCAUCUUUUAACUCUAGUAGUAUUUUGUUUGGAAAAUACCCCAAUAUAAUAUCUUCAUUCAAGAAAAUUGAGGACUGAAUUUGUGGUGCUUUUAUCAUAUUAAAUUACAUUUAAUUAUCAAUAUUUAUUGACUGAAAUCAGAAGGGUGUUUGAAUCAGAUAUGAAUUCUCUCUUAAUCAAUUUUUUUUUCUAAAUUUUGUAAGAUAUUAUGGCAGAUUUCAUUUAAAUUGUUUUAUAGUUAGGAUUUAAUUUAUUUUGGGCUUUCCUUAUUGUUUGAAUCCGAUGAAUUUCAUAUCAUCUUGCUGGUGCUUCUUCUGAUCUUCUUCUCCCUCCCUCUCUCUCACUUUUUUUCUUCUCUCUCACAGACCUAAAACUUUGACGAGCAAAUUUGAAAACGAAAUAUCAGGACGGAAAAGCCUCAACAUAUUAAAAAAUUCGGAUAAUUUAACUCUCGUAGCAUUGAUGAAUUUUGGUGUUCUGAUGCGAUUCAAGUUUCUCAUAGAGCCAAAAAAUGGCAAUUCAAGCCAAUUUUUUUAUCCAUCAAUUGAAAUACAUGUUACAUAUGCAGCAGCCCGUAAUCGAAAAUAACUUAAUUUGUUUUAAAAAUUCUUUAUGUUAGACUAGAAAUGAAUCCAUUCUUGUUAUUGCGUAUCUGCAAUUUAACUUAUGCUGCUAGUUUACAAUUUAUUUUAUUCACAUAAAUGAUCGUUCCUUU
Molecule: long non-coding RNA, 57408 nt
Filed under: Citrus maxima (pomelo)
Lineage: Eukaryota; Viridiplantae; Streptophyta; Magnoliopsida; Sapindales; Rutaceae
Description: long non-coding RNA (CMAX_LNC001232)
Source: RNAcentral